Molecule: long non-coding RNA, 68529 nt
Filed under: Malus domestica (apple)
Lineage: Eukaryota; Viridiplantae; Streptophyta; Magnoliopsida; Rosales; Rosaceae
Description: long non-coding RNA (MDOM_LNC007418)
Source: RNAcentral
UGGAAGAGAUCUUGCUUCUGUGUAUUAAAUUUUAGUGUUGGAUUUAUUACCUAGCACAUCAUGUUACUUUGAGUUAUGAUAAUUAAGUGGUGUUUUAUAUCAGGUUUGCAUAUGUUCCAUGCCCACAUAAUGCCGAGACACUUUCUGCUAUAAUGAUAGAUUGCUUAUCAGAAUGGAAUACUGAUGGUAAGUUGUCUGCUCUCACAGUAGAUAAUUGCUCUACAAAAUGAUGCCAUGAUUGAGGAUAUAGUGACAUAUUGCAAGCUUUCACUUGUGUUAAACGGAGAAUUAUUUCAUAUGCGUUGUUGUGCUCACAUACUUAAUUUGAUAGUUAAGGAUGGAUUGGAUGUGAUUAGGGAUAAUAUUGAGACUAUUUGGAAUAGUGUUGCGUAUUGGUCUGGGACAGCAAAAAGAGAGGAAAAAUUUGUUAAGAUAGCUCAACAAAUGAAAAUUAAGUUCUUUAGAAAGUUAGUCCUUGAUUGUAAAACUAGGUGGAACUCGACGUAUGUGAUGCUUACCACUACAUUGGUGUAUAAAGAUGUAUUUCCUCGUUUAAAGCAGCGUGAGCCUUCAUAUAAAAAUGUUCCAAGUGAAGAAGAUUGGGCGAAGACUAACAUGAUUGCUGAAAAGUUGGAGAUCUUUCACCAAGUGACUGAGUUAUUUUCUGGGAUCAAGUAUCCCACAUCAAAUCUUUAUUUUCCAAAUGUGUGUCAGAUUAGGAUUGCAAUCUGUAAGUGGCUUGAGUCUAACCAUGUUGAAGUUAAGUUAAUGGCAACAAAGAUGUCAAUCAAGUUUCAAAUUGAUUGAGUAUUAUUUUUCUCUUAUUUAUAAAGAGAAUGCUCCAUCGGAAAUUGAGAAAGUCUUUGACUUGGCUAUUAAGUUGGUCAAAGAGUAUGAAUUAAAGCAUAGACCUAGGCUUCGGUCUUCUGAAUCUUCUUCUUCGACUGAUUUUCCAUCUCAAUCAUGUGAUUUCAGAGUUGGUGAUCCUUUAACAUCUUAUGACCAUGUUAUGGAUUUUACAUCGGUAAUGAACAAUAUGACUUAGACCUAUAUUUGGGGGAGAAAGUCUUGCCUAGGACUCAAGAUUUUGAUAUAUUGUCGUGGUGGAAGACAAAUGGGAUUAAAUAUCCUAUUUUGCAUCAGAUAGCUCGAGAUAUUUUGACUAUUCCUGUAUCUACAGUAGCUUCAGAGUCUUCAUUUAGUACUGGUGGUAGGAUUGUUAGUCCACACCGUAGCCAACUUCAUUCAAGCACAGUGGAAGCACUCAUGUGUUCUUGAGACUGGUUGUGGGGUUAGAUGCAAGAUACUUACUGUAAAAUUUCAUAUAAAUUAUGUAUAUGUUCAAAAUUUUACUAUUUUAGCCUAAUUUUAAUUUUUACUAUUGAACCAGAUUCAAACUCUACUCAGGUUGAAGAUUCUUCAUUCGGUGAUGAUACUGAUGUGAAUGUGGUAAAAACUAAUCUUUAUUUUUGUUUUUUACUUUGGAGUUAUUGGUGAUACUCAUUCAAUUUAUGCAUGCUAAUUCAAUUAUACAUUUCUUUUGUAGGCCUCUUUUGGUGACAACGAGUCAAUGAUACUUUGUGGUUGAACGUGUUCAAAAGUGUUUAGUUUCGGAAUAUUUUGGAGCUUUGAAUUCUAGUAUUCAAGAUAAUGACUACUUUUUGUUUUUAGAAGCUUUUCUUUUUAAUCAUAUGGAUUAUAAUUAAAGACUUGUUUGGGUGUAGCAAAAAAUAUCGUUCGUAAACUAUUAUUUCAAUUAUUGGAAUUAUAUGAGGACUUAAAUGAUUAAAAUAGGGAAAUGUAUGCUAAAAUGUACUUAUAACGGUGUUUAAUUGUCAGAAAAUUAAAAUUAUGCCAAAAUUUUCUUUUGUAAUUUUCAAAUUGUCAAAAAAAAAAAUAAUGUAGAAGGGCGAAAGAAGGGUAAAUGGGUAAAAAAAGGAUAAACGGGCGAAAAAACAGGUAAAUGGUUAUGGUUAAAUAGGUACACGGUUAUGGGUAUGGAUAACCGUUUAUAAACCGUUAUGGUUGUGGGUAUAACCAUUUAUGUAAUUACCCAACGGGUAAACGGUUCUGCGGGUAUGAACAUAACGGUUAUGGGUAAAUAACCGCGGUUGCCAAUUGAACUACAAUAGCGGUGUGAACUAGUUUUGGUGCCCCUGCCACGGGGGAGCAAAAAUUUCACCCUAGUUAGUUUGUAGUCAGAAUAUGUAUAAGCCAGUAGCAAUGUAUACCAAUUGUUAAGAUUGGAUUUUCGUUGUUUUUCAGAAAGUAGCAUCAAACGGGGAAUAUUGAAAGGGUGGUGCUAUUCUUUUACUUCUUAUAUCCGUCUCAAUUUUCGACCGUUUGAUCAAAUAAAUUGAAGAUUAAUAAACAAAAAUUGAUAUAAGCGUACGAGGCUAUCAGUCUUUAUAGUCUUCAGGACGUGUUUGAUUGGCUUAUCUAAGUUUCACCGGACUGGCUAGGGUACUUAAACUGUGUUUGGAACAAGCACGGAUUGUGUUUAAUGAGACUAAGACAGACUUGCUAGGAUUAAACGCUUCGCUAAGGGGCUUUAGCGAGACCCCCCGAAAAGGAGAGGUUUGCUAAUCCUGUCUUUUACACUUGCUUUGCUUUAUCUCAAGCUCGUCUAGGACUCUAGUAUGCUUUGCAUCGUCCUCACAGUUGUCCGACGAUCGAUGAUGGACCUGCAUCGUCGUCAAAAAGAAAAUCCCCAAAUGACGAGAUAUUUGAAAGAACACUGCCAGAAAAGCAUUGCUGCAAGUGCAACGACGAUCAGAAGUAUCCCCAAUCCCCACUUCAACGAUGGCGCUGCAAGCACAAACCACCACUUCAACGAGGCCAGACCCAAAAUCGAACAGAUCUAGGCCAACCAAGCUUGCCCAUUCGAGAUUCCACGCCCAUUGAACAAAAACCUGAAAAACGAAGCUCGAUUCUUCGUUUUGCAGAAAUUUUUUUUGGCAAUUAAUCGGAAAAGAGAAGGAAGGGAAGAAGAGCGUGGGAUGGAGAGAACUAGGGAGAUAAAAUGAAGAAAAAGAUGGACUCAUGGAGGCUUCCAGAGAGAGGGAGAGUUUUUUUUUAGAAUAAAAAAAGGUAGAAUUAAUUAAUAUAAUAUUAUUAUAUAUGAAUUAAAAAAUAUAAUAUUGUAGUUUGGUAUUAUCCUUCUUUCUAGUCUAACACUGCACUAAACCCUUUAUUAAGUUAGUUCAGUAUAGUGUAGUCUAAGCCAGUCUAACUUAAUCUCUGAAGCUAGUUCAGUCUGAGAUAGUCCGGUACAACAAACACAUCCUUAUAGUUUAUUGGGAAUGAUUAAAAAUGAUCUUUUCAAGAGAUGAGUCAAAGAUUUUUUUAAGGCAAUUUUUAUAUACCUACUUUUUAUUAUUUUUAAUAAUAUAAUAAAAUAUUAAGUAAAGUGAGUGGAGUGAACCCUAUUUAACCGGCAAAGAUGGUCUUCACCAAUUUAAAAAUCCAAAUGUUACGCAUGGUAAAGUAUUAUUAAACAAGUGCACUUUUUGAAGAGAUUUUUCUACGUAUAUCAGUCGGUACACUAGUCGACAUAGAACUAGUGGAGGAAGCGGUAUAUUUUCAUUUUCUACAUUAAUACUAGCAUAUGAGCACACAGAAAGUGUGUAAGAAAUUUUUUUAUUUUUGUUUUUGAAAUAGAAGGAGAGAGGAAGAGAGUGAUAGAGAAUGUGGGAGUGGGAAGUUUUUUUAUUUUUUAUUUUUUAUUUUUAAUUAGAAAUAUGUUAUGAUUACAUGUAAGUGAGGUUUUGAAAAAAAAAGUAAAAUUUGAUUGUGUGAAAUUACAUUUUUGCCUCAUAUUUCUUAUUUAUGUUCUAUUUUAAUUAAAGGCUUAAACUGAUAAUUUCGUAGAAUUUUGAUUAAUAAUGAGUGUUUUAUUAGUAGAGAUUAUGACGCGUGGUGUGUCGGUUCGUAUUUUAUAAAUACAAUAAAAUCUCUCCACUUCUUCACCAGAACUGCCACCUGAGAGAUUAAGACGACUCGGUUUUAAGUCCUGAAAAUACUGUUGAUAUCUCCCCACAAAAGCUUGAAGAAAUUGGUACACAGAUUCAAGGUCAGAUACUGACUAGAAAAACAGUGACAGUCAUGGUGCGAUCGGAACCAGUGACAGUUCUAACUAGAUGUCUCGGCGCACCGUGAAUUGAGAAUCCAUGGCCUCUGUGACCGGGAUAGAGGGCCAGGCAUGGGCACGUUGCACAUAAAGCUUUGAAAUAUUGCUAAGAGCUAAAAUCGUUUUGUAACUGCACAUUAUUAAAACACUGAAUUUUACAAGACGGCAUUGUUUUCACCAUGCAAUUAAGUCUUAGAAUACAGAUUCCUUCAAACAAUACAGGUUUCUUUACAAAUUACAACUCAAGAUUAAGCUGGUAUUCCUGAGUUUUGACAUUGAGUCAUAUUCCUGAGUUUUGACACUGGCUUGACUCAAGCACAACGAAUUUAACAACUCCUGCAAUCCAGAAAAGACACCCUGUAAGAAAAUCACCCAACACAACUCACCAAGUUAAAUGAACAAAAAAACACUUUGCAACGAAACCCAUUUUACUCGGUCGUCAGAAGAUUAUAAGGUGGUCAGGGGAAACCCAGUCGACGAAGCAAUGCAAUACAAAGAAUACCCUAAACUUAUAUGCGGUUAAAGACUUGUGUGACAUUUAGAAAGCCAUGGUUGUGGCUAUUUUGGAGUAGCUGAUAAGUCAGUAAUGUGGGUGACCUGUAUUGGCAAAAUUCACCAGACCAAUGUAUAGGGUGGGUCGGAAACUGUGUUUGGGUAAGGACCUUCAAAGUAUGAAGAUAUCGCCAAGUGAUGUUAUUUUAAAUAGGAGUAUUAUACAUCUAUUUGUUUGGGCAACCUGCUCACUAAACUGCAACUAAUCAUGGAUUUGCAAGUUUAAUUUCAAAGUUCACAUCAAACCCUAACUGGCUUAAAAAUUAUAACAGCCAUUGGUAAACACAUACCAGAAAACAACAAAAUUCAAAUGUGAAAUAUGAUUUCCAGUUCCACUGAGACUUAUAAUUAUCUAACUUUCUCAGCAACAAAACAACUUGCUCCCUCUUAAAGAGGGAACAAUAUUCGUUGUUAAAAAACAAAACUAGAAGAUCGCAACAGAUGGAAGCACUAGGCAAGCAAAAGAAACACAAUGUAGGUUGUGAAACAAAGUGAUGCUGGGAAAGGUUGACCGCAUCCACUAAAGAACCAGAGAGCAAAGAGACGUUGACAUUCGAUUUAGAACCAGAGCAAGAAGUGGCAAGGAAGAAAGGAAGAUAGAACAGGGAAUUUGCUUCAAUGAAGGAAACAAGACUAUCUGACAAUAAAGAGCAAAAAUGCUUUUAUGAAUGUACAUAAAGAAGAUAGAUACCGAAUUAUACAAAAUUCGGGAUCUGUUCUCGCCAGAAAAUCAUAUUAUCUUAGAAUAUAAAUUACCGCUUUCAAGUACUACAAGUUUCAAUAUAAAUGUUAAUUCGAAACGAAGAGCUUUCCCUAAUUGCUAUACCUCAAAAAAUGACAAAUAAUGUAAGACUCCUGCAAUCCAAACCGGAACCAAAUGCCAUCAAAUACACAAAUCACCAAGAUUGAAAAAUGAAAAUCUUCCCCAACAAAUUCAACCAAGUUGAAUGAACAAAACACUUUCCAACGAAACCCAUUUCCUCAAAACUUAGUUCACAGAAAACUAUACAGAGAUCAGAGACAAGCGAGUCAACACAGUGAUACAACUCAUGAUCACUACACACAAAAAAGCCAUAAAUUUGCAAAGCAAAAGACCAUACAAAGACAACAUCAAAGAACAAAUCUAGGAAAUAACAAAAUCCAAAACAUUUUCAGUUCCACUCAAUCUUAUAUUACUCCAACUUUAAAAUAGAUGUCUCAGCAACCAAAAAUAUUGUCCCCUCUUACAGAUGAGACAAAAACUCAGGAGAUGGUAACAGAUAGAAGAACCAGAAGCGAUAAGGAAGCAGAACGUAGGUUGUGAAAUGACGUGUGCUAGGAAAUUGAAAGGUUGGAGAGAUCUGUUGAAGAAGCAGAGAGCAAAGUAGCAUCCAAUGAAGAACUAGAGAGAGACAGAAGAGAAAACAACGAAAGGAAGACAGAAUCAGGACAUACAGAACUAUGCAAAUAUUUGGGUGUGGGAACUGUUCUCACCAGAAAAAACAUAUUAUCUUCGAAUGCAAAGUACCACUUUCAAAUAACGUUCAAUAUAACUCAAUAUAUAAAAGCAGAAGUUAUUAAUUCAAAAAGAAGAGCUUUCCCAAGUUGCUAUACCUCAAAAAAGCACAAAUAAUGUCACUACUCUGCAAUCCAUACCAGAACCAGGACAGAAACUAUCGAACACACAAACCACCAAGACUGAAAAAGGAAACAAAUCACACACAGACACACAAAGACAGGACCAAAGAACAAAACCAGAAAACCUUAAACUUCCUAAGCACAGACCAGAAAAACAAAAUUAAAGAACAAAACCAGAAAACAACAACAAAAUCCAAAUAUGCUCAGUUAUGCGAUAAAACUCAUAAUCACUACACAAAAAGUCCUAAAUUUGCUAAGCAAAGUGCAAUCAAAACACAGAAUCAAAGUAGAAAACCAAAACACGAAACCGAAACACAGAACCAAAGCACAAAAUCAAAACUUGUUAAGCACAGAUUAUUAGAAAACGAAAGAGAGAUGUACCGAUACACAAAUGUUGCUUAACUUCCUCCAACACAGAAGAAGAACCUAACAACCAAACACAUACAAUUUAGUUCAUGAAUCGAUAUUAUCGCAUAGAUAGUUAAGUAGAAGCUCUCAGAAAGUUAAAUUAAUUUUUACCUCAAGCGACGGAGAUUGGGGAUCACUACUGGGUCAUCCCUCAGUUCCUCGCCCACUAGCCGGAAUAUCACCUUCCCGUUCUCAGCAAAAUAGUUAGCCCGAAAGAUCAUUCUCGCCGUUUCACCGCCGGAAAGCACGGCGGUGACAUGAAUGCUCCGAUGAAUACGAGAACUUAAGCUUCGGUUUAUGAACUUGCUGCCCUUGAUCUCUCUGCUCUCCCCAGGUCCGAGCCUAUCAAUCAGCCUGCCCCGCCUUUCAUCGCCCUCCACCUCCGUUAUCUCAAGAACCACACCCGGACUCGUCGCAUUCACGAGCUCCACCGAUCGACUGAGAAAGCCACCCAUUGAAAAGUCGAUUUUCCCCACCCAAACCACCGGAAGCCCACGCCAAAAGGAUCUCCAUGUCGCGCGCUCAUUUUAUAGGGUUUCCUCCCCACGCGUUUCCAUUUUUUUUUUGGCGGGGGACGUUGGAGGCCGCAAUGUUUUGGCUUCUAGAUGCUGCCUGCUGCUCGAGCGUCGUGGAUUCAAGAAUCUAACUAGUAAAAGUCGCAGAUCCCACGGAGAACAAACUUAUUCCCUUUCCCAGAGAAGCUGAAACUAGUAUCGUUUGUCAGAAAUACCCCUAACUUUAUUCACAAUUACAAAUGGAAAAAACAGUUAUUUUUUUGGAAAACUAACCAAAACACCCUCAAAACUUUACUUUUAAUCAUAAGGACAGAUUUUUUCAAAAAUGCCAAUCCUACCCUUCACACAUAAAGAAAAUGUGGCAAACUCUGCAGCAACCAAGACAACAUAAAUUCACAUGACAUUCAAGCAAAGACAAGAUAGCCAGCUUUCAGAAACAGUGUCACUAUUCAGAAAAUUGUAAAUAGAUGAAAUGUUAUUUUAAAGAUUUAGAUUUUGUAUAUAAGGGAGUCUUUCCUCCCAUACAGAACAUAUCUCUCUCAACAUCUGAAAACACCAUACUCACUUCAUACACUCUAGCAUUCGUAGCCUUCAUAGCAUCCUUGUAAACACUUCUUUGUAAUCACUUUCUUGUAAACAACUAUCACUGUAAACAUUCCAUAUAUCAAUAAAAGUUCAAAUGUACAUAUUCAAGCAAUCUCCAAGUCUUAAGUAAGUUUUCUUUUCCUUACUUAGUGUGUUUGUUUAAUUAGACUUCUAGUCCAAAACAGGGAAACACUAUUGUGGUUAUAUUAUUACCCUGCUAAACUGACGAUCAUACUUUGUUCGAGCACUCUGUUAUAGUUGAAUGUUUGCCAUACAAAUAACUGGACAUUAACCAGGGUACCUCUGAGUUCUUCGUACCUCUGAGUUCAGCCUUUAAGGCCUUAUACUUGUACUGUGGGUGGCCGUCAUGCUGAAACAUGUCGAGUUCCAUGUGCAAGGUUCUAUGUCUAGUUGUUAUAAUGGUCAUCCGACUAUUUAACCGAGCAUGCGUUUCGAAUUUGGUAUCAGAGCCAAGUUUAGCAUUUUAAUAAUAUAAGCAUAAUAGUAAAGUACCUUGAGGAUAGAAGUCAUUGAUACAACUGAUAUCAUAUUUGUUUAUUGUGUAUGAACAACAGAUAUUAUUGUCCCAGACAUCCAACUAUAACUAGCAUAAAGAGAAGAUUAACAUAUAUAUCCAAAAGAAUUAUUAGUACUUUGAAGAAACAAAAGUUUUAUCUUGGCUAUCUUGAACAUCCUUCAUUUAUUCGUAAAUAUAAUAAUACAGAAGUGCAGCAUAAAGUUUUGGAAGCAAAAAGAACAACAGAUCAAGCUUUAGAGACCUUGAGAGAAGAAAGAGAGUUUUUAAGAAAUCAGUUAGCUGUAACUCUAGAGAAGGGAAGACUGUAGUUUAUGAUAGAUUAUCUUAAUUUAGAAAUUAGUGAACCCCAAAAAAGAAAAAUAACUUUAGACCAAAAUAGUUUAGUUUGUUAUUUUCCAUCAAGAAAGCAUAAUCAUAUUUUGCACAGUGAAGAAAAUCCGCAAGCCAAUAGUAUUAUAGAUCUUAUUAUUAGUCAAGCAGAAAAUAUAAAAUUAGAAAAUAAUAAGCAUAAUCAUUUGUUAAACCAGUUGUUAGAACAUUUUCAGAAAAAAUCCAUAAAGAUAAUUAGACAAAAUUUAGAUUAUAUUACAUCUCAGUUAGAAGAUAAUAAUAAAAAUAUUCAAAGGUUUCCUAGCAAAAGAGAGAUAAAAGAGCUUGUUGACCUCAUAGAUAGUAAGCCAAAGCAAGUAGAACUUAGGUCAUUAGAAAUAGUUGAACAACUAAAAUUAGAAGUUCAAAAAAUUCAAUUUGUACAAAAGGAGUUGAGAGAACAAGUAGAUAAGUUGCAUAAUAAAAUAGACAAAUUAUUAGUUUAAUGACAGAUUCUAGAACUAGCAGAAAAUAUAUUCAAGCUUUGAAAGAAAUUAGUAAAUUAGAUAAAGACCCAGUAGGAUUAACAGAUUUUUCAACACAAGUAUCCAGUAGUAAUAUUCCCAUUAGGCAAAAUAAUUUGAUUAUCCAAUUAGUUUUAAGUCUAGCUGAAAAAUUAGAUCAAGUUGAAGAACAAAUAGCAGAAAUAAACCAAGUUUUACAUAACGCAUCUUCAUCACUUCCACCAUCCUUGCUAGAUAAAUUAGAAAAUUUAACUUUGAGUGCAAAUAAUAAUAGAAGACCUAAGCUAAAUCCUUUUGAUAAUAGAAAAUGGAACUCUUUAGGAAAAAAAGAAAAGAAGUAGUUAGAGCGGAAGAUAUUUAUCCAAAUGAAGAAGAAGCACAAGAAUUUAUUCGAAGAGGUUUUGAGAGAACACAGAAAAAUAAAUAUAACUUGUAUCAACUAAGUUUAUUUGAAAACAGAAGUAGAAUUGUAAGCAGCAUCAGUCAACAUGAAGUUAGUUGUAUUGAUAAAGAAGUCACACUUAAUCUAAUUAGUAAAGAAGCAGUUACUCAUUUGAGAAAAUCACAUUUUAGUCAGAUUCAUAUAGGAACAAUAUUAAUUGGAAUAGCAGGAUUAACCAGAGCACAAGUAGGUACAAAGGCUUUAGUAUGCAUAUAUGAUGAUAGAUAGGAUAAUCACCAACAAGCAGCAAUAGCAACAGUUGAAGUAGACUUAAGCUCAAACUUAGCAGUCAUAGGUUGCAUUCCAAAUUAUGUUAUGACGAUUAAUGAAUUUAGUAAAUAUAUUAAAGUGAGCAUAAGAACAAAAAAUUAUAAUAUGAAAGGAGAAUAUAAAAAUUUGUGUAUUAGCUUAAUGUAUAUAGGUAAAGUGUCUGAUAGAUAUAAUCAUAAGUUUAAUUUAGAGUUUCAAAAUUUAGUUCAAACAUUUGGCAGUAAGCAAGUAAAUAUGAUAGAAGCAAAACCCGUAGAUAAUAGCUUUUUAGAAGGAACUCAGUGGACAUUGCCCAAUUUACAAGUAGCACAAAAUAGACAACCAGAUAAAGUACAAAUAUAUGAAACUAGUACAGGUCAAGCAACAAUUAGGUUUAGUAAUUAUAAGCAACUAGAAAAAAUAGAAGAAGAUGAGAGUGAAAUUGAAAAUGAAAGUGUGAACACGGAAAAUUCCUGAAACGAAAGAGACAAGAACAACGUGCACAAACAAAUAUUUGUAUUUUUGAUGAUUUUGGGUUACAAUCUCUCUCUAUUUUGAUCAUCUGAUUCGAUCUCCGUAAGGUGUGUAUUUGUCGAUGUGUGAUUGAUCCAAAGGGCCGUUGGGCUUGAUCUAAGGAUGAACGUUCUUCAAGGGCCGUGGACUUGAUCUUGAAGGUGGAUUUGAGCGGAUCCUCAAAGGGGCUUUUGGGCUUGAUCUUUGAAGAACAGUGAUGAACGGAUCUCCAAGGGCUUUUGGGCUUGAUCUUGAAGAACAAUGAUGAACGGAUUUUCAAGGGCUUUUGGGCUUGAUCUUGAAGAACGGUUGAAUGUGUGGAUUUGUCGACGUUGUUGAUCCAAAGGGCCGUUGGGGCUUGAUCUUGGAUGAACGGAUGAUGAACGAUGGUGCUUUCUUCAAGGGCCGUCGGGGCUUGAUCUUGGAAGAACGAUGAACGAAGAAUGAAGAACACUUUCUUCAAGGACCGUCGGGGCUUGAUCUUGAAUUGGUGGAUGAUUGUUGAUCCAAAGGGCCGUUAGGGCUUGAUCUUGGAAGAACGAUGAACGAAGAACGAAGAAGGCUUUCUUGAUUCUUCGGGAAUCUGGAUGCUUGAGAGCUUCGGCGUUUCAGAGCUUCAGAGCUUCAAGGUGUAAUAUGAAUUGGUCCUCCUCCAAUGAAUGAAAUGGGCUUGUAUUUAUAGAAUUUUCCAAUGCCUAAUUUUGAAUAUAAUAUCUCAGAUGAAAUAAGUCGUUUCUGCCAGGUGUUGACACGUGUCCUAUUUGAUGACUUUUCCAACUCAUUUCAAUUUUCGUUGAGCCACACGCUACGUGUAAAAUUUAUGUAAUACAUGAGCGUUGACACUUUGAUUUAUCGGUCAACAUUUAUUUACCGAAAUUUCGAUGUCUACAAAUGCCCCCACUUCAAGGCGCGUCGUAUACAUGUGAUUGUCACGUGUAGGAGAUGCGUUUUGGAGUCCCUUACUGUAGAUGUCGAUCCAAGGGCAGUUGAGGCUUGAUCUUGAAUUGGGCUGGAGAUUUCUUCAAGGGCCGUCAAGGCUUGAUCUUGAAUUGGGCUUGAGAUUUCUUCAAGGGCCGUUGAGGCUUGUUCUUGAACUUUUGUUUGAAAUUUCUUCAAGGGCCGUCGAGACUUGAUCUUGAAGGUUGAAAUUGGGCCACAAGGAGCUUCAUGUGGUAGAUGAUUUUUGGCUUUGGUAGUGGAUGAAUCGGCACGUAUUUUGUUGCGCUUGUUGACUUUCCACAGCUUUGAUCUUGAACUGGGUUGGAGGAUUUUCUGGAUUCCUCCAAUUGUUGAUUUUCCACAGCUUAUUCUUGAACUAGGUUUUGAUUCAAGGGUGGUAGACACUUGAUCUUGAAUCAGACUUGUGAUUUCUUCCAGGGCCGUCGAGGCUUGAUUUCGAAUUUGGCUGAAAGCUUCUUCAAGGGACGUUGAGGCUUGAUUCUUGAAGGUUGACUCGAACACAUGACAAGCAGGCACGAGGUGAAGGUGACAACUUGUUGCUCUGUUCAAUCUUUCUAAUUCACACCUGAGCAGUUUGGUCAACGGUAUGAUCUUCAAGAUUGAUGGGCUCUUCUUCCAGUUGGUGACUUGAUCUUUAAGGAUUUGAUUCAAGGGUGGUGAAUCGGCACGUGCAGCCCACAACGCCUAGUAAGUCGACCCAAGAAUUUGAGGGUCAAAACAAGUUCACCGUCCUCAGGCAGAUGCGACAUCUUCUCGAGUUCUUCAUCUCAGACUCUUUCUGCUGAGUUGACUGUGCAUGCUGCAUUCUUCUCUGCUUGUUUCUUCAGGCAGAUGUGGCAGCUUCUCGAGUUUCUCAGUUCGGACUCCUUCUGCUGAGUUGACCGUGCCGACCGCAUUCUUCUCUGCUUGUUCCUUCUGCACCUUGUCUCCACAUGCUGCAAGGUAUCAUUUUCACUUGCCUUAUCUGUUCUCCAGGCAGAUGUGGCAGCUUCUUUGAAAGUACAGCAGCAGUGGAAGGCGAGUACUCGAGAGCAGUGCUAGGUAGGCAAUCAGGGAAGGGUUCCAAGCAGUCGGUUCCUUACCCGAGUUUGAGUGGAAGUUCCGGCAUAUUGUUUUCUUUAUCUUUGUCUUUGUAGGUAAGAACAAGGACAAAGGAAAGGACAGGGAGAACGCAUGAUAUGAGAUACUCUUGCUUUCUACCCUGGUGAUAUGAGAUACUUUUGCUUUGGAGCUAUUGGCUUGCAGAGGUACCCCAAGGAAUAAGGAACACUGAAUGACUCGAGAGGUUUCGUUGGGAAAGCAUUUUUUUUUUCUUGAAGAUGAAGAAAUGCUCUGUAUGUCUGCCUUGCUAUGGAAGGUGAAGGUGGACAGUUAUAGGAGGUCCCUUAAUACCUGUAGAGGUACUAUUCUUUCACUCGUGUCGGCAACUAACGCGUGAUUGAACAGUAAACUUCACGUGCUUUCUCCUUCACCGAAAAUCUUCGACAAAUUGCCCGUGAUUUGCGCAAAGUUGAGUGUGCAUAUGACAGGUGAUGACGCGGCUGAAAAAGACUGGCGACUCUUCGAUAUCUAGGAUUGGCGCUUCGACAAAUUACCCGUGAUUUCUGCAAAGUUGAGUUUGAGUGUGACGGGUGCCGACGCGUCUGGAAAAGCAAGAUGCUUCUCCGAUUUCUGAGCUUGCCUCUUCGAUUUUUGAAUGGCCUCUUCGAAUUCUGAGCUCGCCUCUUCGAUCUCUGAAAUCCCGUCGAGUGCUGAUUUUUUAUAGAGGCAUGCAGUUCGUUUCAAAGCACACUUGAAUUUUCGCUUGUGAAAACUCCCCCUCUUGUACUUCUAAGAUCUUGAUUUGUCCGAUCUCUUCUUCCUUCAACACUUUGAAAAUGUCUGGACCCUCCGACCGUCGUUUUGAUUUGAACCUUGGUGAAGAGGUAGUCCCGUCUUCUCCAGAUAACGUAUGGCGCCCAUCCUUCAUAUCCCCUACUGGUCCUCUUACUGUUGGGGAUUCGGUGAUGAAGAAUGAUAUGACCGCUGCGGUGGUGGCCCGGAACCUUGUCACUCCCAAAGAUAACAGACUACUUUCCAGGCGGUCUGAUGAGUUGGCUGUUAAGGAGUCCCUGGCUCUUAGUGUGCAGUGUGCGGGUUCUGUGUCCAACAUGGCCCAACGCCUAUUUGCUCGAACCCGUCAAGUUGAAUCGUUGGCGGCUGAAGUGAUGAGUCUCAAACAGGAGAUCAGAGGGCUCAAGCAUGAGAAUAAACAGUUGCACAAGCUCGCACACAACUAUGCCACAAACAUGAAGAGGAAAAUUGACCAGAUGCAGGAAUCUGAUGGUCAGAUUUUACUUGAUCAUCGGAGGUUUGUGGGUUUGUUCCAACAACAUUUGCCUUCGUCUUCUAGGGUUGUACCGCGUAGUGAAGCUCCAAAUGAUCAACCUUUGGCUCCUCUUCUUCCUGGAGUUCCGCCGAGUACUGAGACACCACCUGAGCAAUAAAGACUCCUUCCCAUUUGUUUGCACAUUUGUAAAUUUUUUUUUUUUUUUUUUUUUUUUUUUUUUUUUUUUGGUAUGUAGAAUGCAAUUUUAUGUAAAAAUUCCCAGAAAAAUAAAUAAAAUGGACUUUAUUUCUCUCAAUGUAUUUUUUUUUUGCUAUAUACAUACAUAUAUUAUGUACAUACAUGUAUAUGUAUAUUUACAUGGUACAAUCCGCACCAUCCCACCUUCCUACUUCCCUUUUUUUAUUCUUUAUUUUAUUAUUAUUAUUAUUUUUUUUUAUUUUUUUUAUUAUACUUUCCUGCGGUGCCAGAGGCACCAUUCCUUCUCCUUAUAUAUAUAUAUAUAUAUAUAUAUAUAUUGCCUUUAAUUAUGGUGCCAGAUGCACCCCUCCCCCCUUUUUCACGUGGUGCCAGAUGCACCACCACCUCCUUUUUUUUUUUUUUUUUUUUUUUGUAUUAUAUAUUUUUUCUGUAUAAAUUUGGAUGGUGAGUUGAGGAAUUUGCAGGGAUGGUCGGGGAGCUUCGGAGCACCACCACAUAGCACCGCCACUGAGCACAACCGUUGCACUGCGUGUCGUCACGGAGGAAGGGAUCACUAGAUGCCGCUGCUCCCAAUUAGAUCGAAAUUAGGGCUCUGAUCAACGAUUCCCAACCCGGCGUUGCUGUCGAAAUCGAUGGGGCUGUUGUGGUGGUUGCCCUUCCCGCUCUGCAACAGCCGCUUGAGUCCACACGACAUGUCGUCCACAUCCCCGGCUAUCCACCUCAGCAGAGACUGGUCGUGGGCCGGAGACGCUGCCGUUUCGGAGAGCAUAGUCUCCCAAUCCUCCAAACCCGCCAAGCCCAAGGCCGCACUUCUCGACCCCUCCUCCCGAUCCGGUCACGGCCUCCAAUCCGCCGCUCCGAAUCGACUGGAGCUCGCAGGCCCACUCGUCUUUCGACGACUCUGGACCCCCAGCAGGCAAAGUCUCCGCAGCCAGCGACGUCGAUUUGUCACCGCCACCACUGCCGUUUAAAAGACGAAGAGAGAAUGGAAGAGGGUCACAGCGGAAAGUGCGAAGAUGAGAGUCCUAGCUUUGAUUUCGAAGGCUGCGAGGGAGAGAGAGAUUGGGCCUGGGCUGCAUUUUUUGGGUGUCUUGAGGAAUUCCCUGGUUGCAGUUCUUCGCACAUGAAACAGUUUGUAGCAAGCAGAGUUGUCGACAAUGGUUGCAGCUCAGGCUUCGUCUCCGUCGCCAAGUCAGUCCCCGAAGGAGUCGUUUGGCGUUACAAGUUUCUCUGGCCUCUGCUCGAUUAUUAAUUUGGGCGUUUUGCGCUUACCUUCAAUAACCAUCAUCCGGCAGCGGGGAGGAAGGUGGCGGAUGAUGAUGAGUUGGGUGGGACCCUGACACGCUCACACGAGGGGCACAUGGUGAGUGUUGUGGGCGGAAACGCCCGCUUCGUUUUCGCAGUCGACCGUCGAAGGAAGACGACGGAGUCUGGGCCAUGGUGCUGGAGUGAUCCAGAAACUGAAGAUGAAGAAGCAAGGUUGUAGCAGGGCACUGCUGAGAUCGACAAUCGGAGAUGGAGGCUUGGCCGUCGAUGGCGACGGAGUACGGAGCUUCUGAUUUUGAACUGGAUCGCCGGCAUGCAAAUCGUUUUCUUCACCUGAUUGUUCCUUCUCUUGGAGCAAUGGCGCUUGCAGGGACCGGAAGCAGAUCCUGUGUUGGAAGUUUCUUCACUGCUGCUAUCUGAUGUUUCAGACUCAUCUUCUUUACAUUCAUCGUCAUCAUCAUCUUCUAGCAUUCUUUUCUCAAGUUCAAUUGGAUCUAACCCCGCCAAUUGCUCAAAUCUACGAAGCUUCUGCAGAAGGUGAUGCUUUGUUCUCUGUACAUUGGCAUAGCUGCACUCCAAAUCACAACCGUCUUCGUCGUCAUCAUCCUCACCGUCACCGUCACGUCCCUCGUCGUCGUCUUGGAACGGAGGGUCCAAUACAGAAACAGGACUGCAUUGUUCCUUCUCUUCCUCCUCUUGUUUGUGGCGCUCAUCUGCUUCAUAAUCUACCCAAUCUCCGCCUCGAUGGGGCGGUUGGAAAUUGAACUUAGAAGCUGGACCACGUCGUCGGAUAUUUGGUUGGAGCGCGAAACGGCGUCGUUGCAGACGGAGAAAAGGUUGGCGAAAUCCUGGUGGUGAGGGAGGAGGUAAGAUUGGAUUUUGGACUUGAUUUGGAGCGAGUGGGAGUCGAGGCGUUGGAUGAGGAGGCGGAGAUCCGGCGCAGACAGAGGGGUCGUGGGGUCGCUGAGGUCCUGCGCCGACAGGAGCUCUCGGACGUUGAUUGAGUCGAAUAGGGCGUCCAUUUCCGGCGGAUCGGACGGCUGGGUCUUAAUCCACUGCAAGCAAGGCCUGAUGCUGCAAUUCUCGCUGCAGCCCUUGCGGAGUAUUCGACAUCCAUUACAGCUUAUCCGCAUUUUCGCUUUCUUCUUCUUCAAAACAGAGAGAUGGGCUUUUCUGGGUAUUUUGAGAGAGAGAGAGAAACGGGCCUGGGCUGGUGCCUUUUGUUGCACCCGGGCCUAGACAUAUACAUAUAUAUAUUUCUUUUUUUUUUUUUUUUUUUUUUGUAAAUACAUAAUAACAUAUGUAUUCAUUUUUUUAUUUUAUUUUAUUUUUUCGAAGAAACUGUAAUUUAAUUUUGUCAAAGAAAAAUUGCAGAUUUUUUUUUAAACAAAAUAAAUUUGUAAUAAAAUUGUCCUUCAUCAAUGAAACUUUAAUCAAACCCUUUUUUUUUUUUUUGAUGUGACUGAACUCGAAAUUGAAUGCUCGAGCUGCCUACGUACCCCUCUAAAGAAGAGAUCAAGUCGUAACGUAGUUCAAAUACAUUUUUUUUUGUGUUUUUUUUGUUUUUUUUUUGGUAUUUUCUUUUGGUGCCGUUUGCAGUUUCAACUCGUGCAGGCAAGGAGAAUUUGGUGUUGCCUUUUAUGCUCGUGCAGACCAGGAGCGUUGGUGUUGCCUUUUAUGCUCGUGCAGACCAGGAGCGUUGGUUCGUGCAGUUUAGGCUCGUGCGAACAAGGAGCUUUGGUUCAUGCAGUUUAGGCUCGUACGAACAAGGAGCAUUGGUUCGUCAAGCGAUCUGAGAGAGUUGUUCCUCGCAAUCUUCAUAGCAAGGAGCCUUGACUGAGUAGUUGAAGAAGUCUUCUGGGAAGAUGUCACGCAUCAUGAUGGGGAUGGAUGAUCUUCGUGUCAAAGUUUCAUUAUCUCCAACACUUUCACAUUGUUCUGGAGGUGAAUAGGAGCUGUUUUGCCCCCUUUCCCAUUGGUGAGCUUGUGGAGAAGACAUAUGCUUCUUGUGCAAUUUCUUCGGAGUGACAUAAGUCUAUCCUUCAACUUCACUCGGCUUGACUGGCAUGUUUUUGGAGCAUGCCCCCAGCGAUUGAGGUGAAAAUUUUGAGUUGGCAGAGCCGAAAGUGACGUCUUCUUCCAGGAUUUCGUCUUCUUUGUCUUCUUGGGCCUUCUCUUCAGUGCGGUCCUCUUGGGUUUGUUGCCGUGAAGAUUGGCCGGUGUAGAUGAUGGUGUGCCUCCUUACCUUCAAUGGUCCUUUUGUGUCGACUUCCAAAGUUGCUUGGCGCUUCAUCUUUGAAGGAAUCAAGCUUUGAACAUCGUCCUUUCCUGCUAGACCGUCGAGCUUCUCUCCCUUUGGCGUUGUCUUCCUGUUUCUAGAAAGCUUCUUAGUUUCUUCGAGUCUGUCCAAAGCCGACCGUUGCGGAGGAGAUCUAGCUGUGCCACUUUGUUUCUUGGGUUUUGAUAACCUUUCAAAGACUGAUCUUUGCGGUAUUGGCGUCUCAAGCCUUUUGAAGACGGAAGUUUGGUCUCGACCACUGAUGCGAUCAAGUGCUGCAAUUCUAGGUUUUGAAUAAUUCAGCCUUUCGAAUACUGAAGUUCGAGGGGCGGGUUUAGGCUCCUCUUUUGGCCUUGUGGCUUGUGGUCUUGGCUUCCUCGUUUUUUUGUAGGUCACCGAUGUCCACCCUUUCUUAUCACCAGUAGAUGCAUCUUGGUUGCUUGCCCCCGGUGAUGGUUGUGUAGGAGGUGCCAUGUGACUUGAACAUUGACGGGAAUGGUCAUGCAUGCUUCGGAGAUGCACAGGAUCGAGUGAUUCAAACACGAUAGUAGUAGUGUGUGCCGCAGCCGUGUCUUCGAGGUCAAGCUCGAUUUCCCCUUGUUGUGCUAGCUUCAGGAUGAGAUCUUUCAGUACGAAGCACUUUUCCGUUGGAUGACUGAUGAAGCGGUGGAAUUUACAGUAUCUUGGGUUGUAUGUACGAUUCAUCUCUUCCGGCCGUCUGCACUCAGGCAAACUGAUCACUUUCUUGUCCAACAGGUCAUCCAGCAUGGCAACCACAUCAGAGUCGGGGAAUGGAUAAGUUUUCUCCUCAAGCUCCUUCAAAGUGCGUCUACGCAUCUCUUGAUCACGAAAGCCUUCGGCUUGAAUCGCCUUGCCUCGUGUGGAUAUUUUGACGGAAGAUGUGUUGACCGUCAUCGCUUCCUUGGUGGGUUUCCAUGCAGCCUUUUCCACCUUUGUCCCAAGAGCUUUGUCGUUCUUGUAGUCGGCGAUCGGUUCUUUCUUCCCAUGAUGGGCGAUGCUCAACUCCAUGUCAUGGGCGCGAGUGGCCAAUUCCUCGAAGGUCCGCGGUUUAAUGCCUUGAAGGAUGUAUUGCAAACCCCAUUGCAUGCCUUGGACGCACAUCUCGAUUGAAGAGGUUUCCGAGAGCCUGUCUUUACAGUCGAGGCUUAGAGUGCGCCAUCUGUUGAUGUAGUCAAUGACUGGCUCGUCCUUCCACUGCUUUGUGCUGUUUAGCUCUAGCAUGCUCACAGUGCGGCGGGUGCUGUAGAAGCGGUUGAGGAAUUCCCGUUCUAAUUGCUCCCAGCUGUUGAUGGACUCAGGCUCUAGGUCCGUGUACCACUCAAAGGCAUUUCCUUUCAGCGAGCGCACAAACUGCUUGGCGAGGUAGUCUCCCUCCGUCCCCGCGUUGUUGCAAGUUUCGACGAAAUGUGCAACGUGCUGCUUUGGGUUUCCUUUUCCAUCAAACUGCAUGAACUUUGGUGGUUGAUAACCCCUUGGCAUCUUUAGGGCAUCAAUCUUCUUGGAAUAGGGCUUCGAGUAGAACAAUGAUGUAUGUGAGCUCCCUUCGUACUGUGCCUUGAUGGUGUUGGUGAUCAUCUCCUGCAGCUGCUGGAUAGAAAGAGAUCCCAUGAGUGCCGCUGCUUGGUCUGGCUCCGGCUUCCCAUCGAUUUUCUUCACCGGGGGUUCUUCGUUUCCGCCAGCUCCUCCUUUUAGUGGAUCAUCCUCUGGGUCGGGUUUAUCGUCGUCCUGCGCCUCCAGUCGGUUGACUAGUGCUGCAAUUUGCAAGUCUUUUUCUUCCACAGUUCGGGUUAGCCUUGCGAUUGCUUCAUUCAUUUGAGCUAGCUGCUCAUCGAUUGAAGUUGCUCCAAUAGUCAUGACUUGCAUGGCUGAACUGUCGCUUGAAUCGGCAUCGGAGAGCAUGGAUUCGGAGUAUUUCCUUGGGCUUUCCCCCCUUGGUGCCCUUAGUGAGGCUAAGGUGAUCAAAGGCUCAUGCCUUGGGUGCUUUUGUUCCCUUGGCAGAGUUGAUGCAGAGGUGAAAGAGGCGGCAGAAGUAGCUCUUGCCAUGCUUCGAGUCGUGAUGCCCAAAGUGACACCAGUUGCGACGAGGACGCUUUUGUUCUUUGCGCCGGUUGCGGGAACAGUUUGAGCCUUCCUUGAUGCCAUUAAUUUUGGAAGUGUGCUCGAAUUUCUUGAACGGAGAAAGAGAUGAGAGGCAGAGAUGAUCCCACCGGGCGUGCCAAUUUGUGAACACGGAAAAUUCCUGAAACGAAAGAGACAAGAACAACGUGCACAAAAAAAUAUUAGUAUUUUUGAUGAUUUUGGGUUACAAUCUCUCUCUAUUUUGAUCCUCUGAUUCGAUCUCCGUAAGGUGUGUAUUUGUCGAUGUGUGAUUGAUCCAAAGGGCCGUUGGGCUUGAUCUAAGGAUGAACGUUCUUCAAGGGCCGUGGACUUGAUCUUGAAGGUGGAUUUGAGCGGAUCCUCAAAGGGGCUUUUGGGCUUGAUCUUUGAAGAACAGUGAUGAACGGAUCUCCAAGGGCUUUUGGGCUUGAUCUUGAAGAACAAUGAUGAACGGAUCUUCAAGGGCUUUUGGGCUUGAUCUUGAAGAACGGUUGAAUGUGUGGAUUUGUCGACGUUGUUGAUCCAAAGGGCCGUUGGGGCUUGAUCUUGGAUGAACGGAUGAUGAACAAUGGUGCUUUCUUCAAGGGCCGUCGGGGCUUGAUCUUGAAUUGGUGGAUGGUUGAUCCAAGGGCCGUCGGGGCUUGAUCUUGGAAGAACGAUGAACGAAGAAUGAAGAACACUUUCUUCAAGGACCGUCGGGGCUUGAUCUUGAAUUGGUGGAUGAUUGUUGAUCCAAAGGGCCGUUGGGGCUUGAUCUUGGAAGAACGAUGAACGAAGAACGAAGAAGGCUUUCUUGAUUCUUCGGGAAUCUGGAUGCUUGAGAGCUUCGGCGUUUCAGAGCUUCAGAGCUUCAAGGUGUAAUAUGAAUUGGUCCUCCUCCAAUGAAUGAAAUGGGCUUGUAUUUAUAGAAUUUUCCAAUGCCUAAUUUUGAAUAUAAUAUCCCAGAUGAAAUAAGUCGUUUCUGCCAGGUGUUGACACGUGUCCUAUUUGAUGACUUUCCAACUCAUUUCAAUUUUCGUUGAGCCACACGCUACGUGUAAAAUUUAUGUAAUACAUGAGCGUUGACACUUUGAUUUAUCGGUCAACAUUUAUUUACCGAAAUUUCGAUGUCUACAGAAAGUAUACAUAUGGCUUUUGAUAAUUUAGAUAUUAAUUUAGUUGAACAAAAUUUUGAUCAUAUUGUAGAUAAACUUAUAGAAGAUAUUGAUCAUUUAGAUGAAGAACAAUAUUUGGAAAAAUAUAAGACAUAUGAUUUAGGACUACAUAAAAUUUCAAACGAAGAAAUGAAAAUUUUAAUCUUAGAAAUAGGAGUAGAACACAUUUUAGGAUCAAAAGAAUAUAAUAAUUUAUUAGAAUUGAAAGCAGAAUGUAAUCCGGCAGAAGAAAGUAGUACAUCAGGAGUAGAAAAUCCAGGAUACGCAAGCAGAUCCGAUCAACAAUUUUUGAGACCAACAAAUGAACAAUAUAAUGAAAAAGCAAAAGUAGAUUAUAUAGAAGAAAGUAUGAUAAAACUUAGAAAAAAUAGGAUUCCAUAUUUGAGAGGGUUAGAACAAAUUAAUAUAGCUGGUAAUAUAUUAAAUUUAGAUAAUGUAGAUCCACAAGAUUGGGAAAGAACGAUUGAGAGAUGGGAAAAAGGCUGCGUACAUGCAGCAUUAAUGUUAGAUUUUAGUAAUUCACAAAACAUGUUAGAUUACUUUGAACAUACUUUGUAUGGUUUAGUUUUUUAUUAUUUCCAAUCAUGGAAAGUUCAAAAUCCAGAACAACAUCAGGCAGCUAAAACACAUUUUAAUAUUGAUGGUUUUGUUACUUUGAUUAAACAAGAGUUUUUAGAUCAUAAUAGGUUAGAUGGCAGAAGUGAACAAGAACAAAUAAGAGCAAUCAGAAAUUUAGAACAAUUACAAAUUUGCGAUUUACAGUAUAUAGCUGAGUAUACCACAGAUUUCUUUAAAUAUUUAGGAAGAACAGGUAGAAUUAGUGAUAUUAAUUUAUUAGAUACUUAUAUGACAAAAAUAAAAGGACCAAUAGGUGAAAAGAUUUGGAAUGAAUGGCAAAAGCAUUCGAAGAAAAAUGAUAUUGCUAUAGGACCUAGAAUUCAACAUGUAUAUGAUAUACUUAGACAAGAGUGUAGUCAAAUAAAGGCUAAGAGACAAAUCAGGAAGCAAUUUUACAUGAGUUGUAAAAAUAUAGAUUUACCACAACAGUAUGGUUGCCAUAAGAAAAAUAAGCAUAAGAAAAUGUACAAAAAGAAAUAUAAGCAUAUAAACCCUACAACAACAUAAGAAUUUCAGUAUAAGACCUUCAAGAACAUAUAGGAAGAGAAAAUAUAUUCCAAAACAAUUUAGAAAAAGAAGUGGCAGACCUUGGAUUAGGAAAUAUAAAGCACCAAAAGAUAAGAGUAGUUGUAAAUGUUAUUCAUGUGGAGAAGCUGGACAUAUUAGACCUAAAUGUCCAAAAUUAGGUAAACAGUCGAAAGAAAAAGUAUAUUUGAUGGAGUUGUUUAAGUUAGAAGAAGAUGAGGAUAUUCAGUCAAUAUACAGUUUAGAUAAUUUAAGUGAUAAUGAGAGUAUUUAUAGUAUAGAAAGUAUUAACAUAAUAGAUUCAGAUUCGGAAGAUUCAAGUAGUACAAAUAGUGAUCUAGAAGAAUAUAUGUGUGCAUUCAUAGAAGAACAACAUGAAGAAGAAUAUAAAUACAUUAAUUUAGGUUGGCCAGAAAAAUGUCAUAAGUGUAAUAAAUUAGUUGCAAAUAAAUACUACAAUACAUACUCAAUAUUAUGUGAAAAAUGUUAUAGUAAUAGGUUAUUAGAAGUUAAUUCAGCAGAAUCUGAAAUAUUAGGAAAUAUUGUUCAUAGUAUAGAAAAACCAAAAAGUAGUUCCUUAAUCACUAUAAAUUGCGAAAUAGAAUUAGCAAAAGAACAUAAGAUACAAACCAUAGCUAUGAUAGAUACAGGGAGUACAAAGAGUGUCAUAAGAGAAGAGUUAGUACUAGAAAAAUAUAGACAAAAAUUAACAAAACCAGUAAGAAUAACACAAUUUGAUGAGAGACCAGUUUACUUAACACAUUGUAUAAAUAAUGAGUUUAUUAAAGUAGAAAACAACAAUUUAAUUUACCAUUAACAUUUGUUUCACCAGUAGGAUCAUAUCCAUUUAUUUUAGGAUUAAACUUUUUGAAAAGUUUGCAAGGUUUUUUAUUUAUGAACCCUAACAUAACAUUUUUCAAAAGAGGCAUUACAAUAAUUGAUCAAAGUAAUACUGUAGAAGCAUACAAAAACAUAAGUAUAGAAGAGACUAGUGGCCAAGAUAGUUAUCAUUUAGAAAACUCAAAAGAAAAUGAUGAGCAUAAUAAUGUAGAAGAGUUUGAUGAAGACAUCUUUGAACAUGAAUACCCAAUUUUAGAAAAAAUGAACCUGUAUAGAAAUAUUACAGUUAGACAGACCAAAGAAUUUAGAAGAAUUGUUACAAUUAGCAGAACAAACUAGAAUUAUAGGAGAAGACCCACAGUUACAUUGGAGCAAAAAUAAAAUACUAGCAAAAUUAGAUAUAAUUAACCCAGAUUUAACCAUUAAGACGGCUGAUAUGCCUUGUAGUCUAAUAGAUAAACAAGAGUUUGAGCAGCAAAUAAAAGAGUUGUUAAAUUUAAAAGUAAUUAGACCAUCUAAGUCUAGACAUAGAUCAGCAGCAUUUAUUGUAAGAAAACAUUCGGAAUUAAAAAGAGGUAAGGCUAGAAUAGUUUAUAAUUAUAAGAGAUUAAAUGAUAAUACAUACGAAGAUAGUUAUAAAUUACCAAAUAAGGAUGAGCUUAUAAACAAAAUUCAAGAGUGUAAAUAUUUUAGCAAAUUUGAUUGUAAAUCAGGUUUUUGGCAAAUAAGAUUAGCAGAAGAAUCAAUUGAGUUAACAACCUUUACUUGUCCAGAAGGACAUUUUGAAUGGCUCGUUAUGCCAUUUGGACUUAAAAAUGCUUCAUCGAUCUUUCAAAGAAAGAUGGACCAAAUUUUCAAGAAAUAUGAUAAUUUUUGUAGUGUUUAUGUAGAUGAUAUUUUAGUACAUAGUAAAAAUAAAAAUGAACAUAGGAAGCAUUUAGAGAUAGUAUUACAAGAAUUUAUCAAUAAUGGAAUUGUAAUUAGCAAAAAUAAAAUAGCAUUAGAAAAGCAAGAUAUAGAAUUUUUAGGAAUGUAUAUCAAGUCAGGUACAAUCCAAUUACAAGAUCAUAUAGCUAAAAAGGUGUUAGAAUUUCCAGAUAAAUUAGAAGAUAAGAAACAGUUACAAGCAUUUUUAGGAUUGCUAAAUUAUGCAAGAAAUUUUAUCCCUGAUUUAGGAAGGAAAUAGCAGUAUUACAUAGUAAAACUAGCAAAACGGGACAAAAAUAUUUUAAUAGUGAAGAUAUUAAAUUAGUUCAAAAAAUAAAAGAAGAAAUUACUAAACUUAAGCCAUUAACAUUACCAUUAGAUGAUAGUUACAAGAUAGUCGAAACAGAUGCUUCAUCAUUAGGAUGGGCAGGUAUACUAUACCAGAAAAGGCAUAGGGAGUCUCCAAAGUCUGACGAACAAGUUUGUAGAUAUUCCUCAGGAAAAUUUAGUGAUGUACAGUCAAGGUUACCAUCAACAGAUUUAGAAAUUUUAGGGAUAAUUAAUUCACUUGAAGCAUUUUCUUUAUUUUUACAUAAUGAAGUAUUUACGAUUAGAACAGAUUGUCAAAAUAUAGUUUCUUAUUAUAACAAGAUACAUGCUAAUAAACAGGCAGCCCGAAGAUGGGUUAAUUUUGUUGAUUCAAUUACAGGAAAUGGUUUUAACCAAUUUUUGAACAUAUAAAAGGUAAUGACAAUACAUUAGCUGAUAUCUUAUCAAGAUUAAUUUGUUGAACAGGUAUGGAAUAUCGUGGACCAUCAUCAGCAAAUAGCACAAGGCCCCAAGGCAGAAGAGUUUCUUUCAAUGGCAUGAUGAUGCACCAUCAACCUCCACCAUUCAGUGGAUUUCAAAAUAGCAUGAGCAGACCAGCAUCACCACCAGUACCCACGUUCAACUUUAAUGGCAAUAUUGUUGAAGGAAUCAGAAAUCCAACUCUGAGAUACAGGUCAAGGGUACCGGGGCUUUCUGAUAGGCAGCAGGUUCUCUUAGAUAAUUUCUGGAAUAUCCAAAUUAAGCAGCCAAGCAUGAGGUUAGGUCAUGAAAAAUUAAUUAGAGCCUUGGAAUAAGAGUUUGAUAACUUUAAUUUUAAUUUCCACCAAAACCAGCAGCAUAUUCAUUCUCUUGAGCACAAUCUUCAAGCCAUUUCUAGGGACCAUGAGUCAUUACUUGGUAAGUUUACCAAAAUGAACCAAGAACUCCAAUCUCUUAGAAUGCAACAAAAGGCAAGUGACACCUUGAAAAGAGAAUUAAAAAUAGGUUUAGAAAUUGAUCAACAUAAAGGAAAAAAGGUUAUUGAACCCAUAGAACAAGAGGCUAAUGAACCCAUAGAAGAAAUUAAGAUUGAGCUCUUAGAAGAAGACGUUGAAAUGGAGCAACAUCAAAGUAAUGAUCAACAUCAAGUUCUGAGUGACAAAGAAAAACAAGAAAAAUAUGAAAGUUUUCUUAGGAAUAUAUCUUCAGACUUAAUAUUAGACGAUAUUUUAUUAGAAGAAUUUUCAAAAGCAAAACUAAGAAUAAUGCCAACAGAUAUGCAAAAUGAGAUCCUGAGCAGAGCAUCACAGUCCAUGAAAGAGUUACAAUUACAAUUACAAUGCGCCUUGUAUCAGUCCAUCUUUGAUCCAAAACCAGGAAUGGAUAUUAUUACAAAGAUGUAUCCUCCAUGUCUUUGUGAUAGUACAGAGAAUUGUAUUUGUAAACCAGAAAUUAGCGUAGUUGUGGCCAGGAUUGACAUGAGAGAUUUUAAAUCAUGGCAUUUUAGUUAUGAGCAUCAGAAAAAGCAUAAUGAGGUAGAAGUCACCCCUGCCUUACUAUUAGAGUUUGGUUAUCUCGAUAAAAUAUUUAUUAACCGUAUUUCUCAACUAGAAUAAUUUCCUGAAAAGCUUAUUAAAGUAGCAGAAGACUAUCUAGAAAGGUGGAAAGAAAUUUGCAUAAGUUUUAUUAGUAGUCCUCCAGAUUGGUAUGUACACAUGCAUAAGGAGAAAGCUAGGCAUAUAGCCAUGAUCAAUGAAGAGUCCUUUAGACUAAAUCCUAUCUCCUCACAUAGGUGGACUCCUUCAUACAAAGAUAUUUUAAAAUUUAGAGGGAUCCAAAUGUUUGCUUUAGAUGAGUUUGAAGAUUUUAGGUAUGAUAUGGUACUAGUAGCAGAAGAAGAAGAGAUGUAUAUUUACAGCAAGACAAGAAUUAGUCAUCAGCCUUAUUGGAAGCCCCAAAAUUUCAAAGAAGAAACAUCGGAAAUAUAUUACAAGGUGAAAGAAGAUAGAGAAAGAGAUGCGGAGCUAGUAGAAGGCGAUGAACAAUAUUGGAAUAAUUUGUCAGAAGAAGAGCUGCAUAACAUCGACAACAUGAUGGAAGCCUGAAGAACUAGCUGUAAAUUAGCAUAAGAUGAAUAACAUCAUAAUGUAUUUCUAGACAGAAAUGUUAACAUCGUUGUGGUCCGCAUGUAAUGGCACAAGAGUAAAUAAAGAGAAGAGUUUGAUCUAUUAUAGACUUUUCAUACAUAAAAUGUCCUUAUGGUUAAGAAUGAAUAGUACCAAGCCCUUUUCGUUAAAACUCCCUUAUUUCUUAUGUAUGAGAAUUAAUCUGGUCAUGAUGGAACCCUUUUAAUCAAUGUUUCCAUUCAUUUAUUUAAUCUGAAACCUAAAAAUAAAAUAAAAAGUAUGUAAAGCGUUAAAUUAAUUUCACAUAUGCGUGAAAUUAAUUUCUUUUAACAACAUAUUGAUACAAUACCAAUAGCAGAAAGGAAUUGUUAAUAGUCCUGCGAUUUUGUUCAUUCCAUAUUAGGCGAAAGCUAAUGUUGUUCUAUGCGUAAUAGGAGUUAAGCGGUUGAUUUUUCCUAUAACUUCUUUUGACAUCUUUGCCCUUCGAACUACAUAGUGGUGUGAACUAGUUUUGGUGCCCCCGCCACAGAUGGGGGCAAAAAUUUCGCAUGAGUUCCUUUGUAUUUAGGAAUAUGUAUAAGCCAAUAGCAAUGUAUACCAACUGUUAAGAUUGAAUUUUUCUUGUUUUUCAGAAGGUAGUAUUUGACGGGAAAUACUUAAAGGGUGGUGCUAUUCUUUCACUUGUCACACUAGUCAUUAUUUUUUGCCGUUUGAUCAAAUGAAUUGAAGGUUUGACACGCCCGACCUUGAUAUUCUCCAAAAGACCAGGGUAUGCACAUGCUGGCUGACAUCCGAAGGUGAUGAACCCAUAUUAUGAUGCAUGAGAACUAGAAGGAAAUAACUAACAUAAAUAAAGCUUGUAAAUUUAAUUAUAAUGAAUAUGCAAUUGUGGAACGUGUUCAGAAUAUAUAACUAAUUGGAGACACUAAAAAUGAAUAAUAUAAAAUUGAAUGAACAAAAGGAUGGGUCCUACACCGAGAGGACUUGAAGAUGCCGAUGUGGGAAUGCCCUGACGCCGUGAUUGUACUCCUUGAUUCUAAGUCCUAAGGGGGCGCAAAACAAAACAUGAGUGAACCAAGUUGAUAUAUAAGUAAUAUUAAAACAAUUAAUCUUUAACGUACUAACCCCAAAGUUUAGAAAACUCAUGUAUCAUAAUAAGUAAUAUGUUUUUCCGAAAACCCUAGCAUGCCACAAAACCUUUCAUAAGACAUAUAUCGUAUAUAGGGUGCUUAGUAGUAGUAGUAGCACAAGGCAUAUAUAUACACAUAUAUCUUCAUUCGCCCAAAGGCACUACAUCUCCCGCCCGAAGCCAAUAUAAAUAUCUUCCGGCCGAAGCCACCAACCUCCACCCGACUUAAGCCAUAUAUAAAUAUCAUUUGCUCGUAGGCCUUACAUCACCCGACUGAAGCCAAUUAAUGAUUUCAUUUGCCCGUAGGUAGAUCGUAUGAAUAACCACUAAGUACACACAUAAAAACAUUAACAUAAUAUUUCUAAUAUAUAUAUAUAUAUACACGGAGCUCAGUAGCUAAAACGUCAUAUCGUAAAUCAUGUUCAAAGUAUAUAGUCAUAAAUAAUUUAUACUUCAAAGAAUGUAAAUCCGAUAAAGCAUAAUAUAUCAUAAAGUGUAAAUCUAAUUUACUCAUAAACGUUUCAUAAAACGUAACCAACAAAUCAUGUUUUCAUGUAUGCAUUUUAGAAGGGGUCCACUCACAGAUACUUCGUUGUCAAAGAGCCGUGCAAACUAAAGAAGAUGGAAACGCUAUAAACUAUACUAAAACGGUUGAAUUUGAGCAAACAGAUUCAGGACGUCGAAAACAUAAGGGGGACCUCGAGUACCCCCACUCGCCGCUGCAUGCGUCGAUUUGGGUAUCCGGAAAGUUGGCGGAAAAAGUCAUCGGCACCUCCGUGGACGGCGGCAGAGCAUAGUACCUCCGGUGGAGGCACGUGUGCUCCACGCGCCGGCCAAGGUAGAGGCCCACGCGCAUCCACGUGCAGGCCCACACGCUGACUGGGUUCUGGGUUUGGGUCGGUUCAGUUGGGUUGGGCUGAGAGUUUUGGGCUGUAAGGUUGAGCCUGGGCAAUUGGGUCUGGGCCUAGAUUCUGGGCUGGGUUUAGUGGGUUAUAAAUUAGGAUUUAGGCUUGGUAGCUUGGCCUAAGGAUCUGGGUUAGGCAUGGGGGUUUGGGCUUGCCCUAGUGGGUUAAAACUCUAGGUUGGGUUGGCCGAGUUGGCCGUUUCGAGGAAGAAGAAGGCCGGAGCUAUCCCAGCUUCGUUCAACCCCAAAACCUAACUAAAACCCAUCAUACAAUAUACCAAAUUGAAGCUCAAGGAACAAGGAAGAGAUUCGUACCAAUUUCAAGACUUGAGGUGGCCGAAGUUGGCCGGAAAAUGGUCUAAAACCCACGGGUUCUCGCUGGAAUCUGGGGAAGUCUCCUCGAGUUGGUUUCUCGAUGUUUCAACGUCCACAAUACACAAAAACAAUUAGAAAUGAAAUAUGAGGAUGAAAAGGGGAAGGUUUAGGUUGUUUUUCGUAGCUCACAUACGUCGGAGGUGUUGGAAACUCACCGGGUUUCCUUCGUGAGCAGUGGCAUCUGCCACGGUCGAGGUUCCCAGGUUCCCUAUCCAGGGUUCAUGGUGACGAGGUCUAGGUGGCGGUGAGUUAGGGGCCUCGCCGAGGCUGUAAUGAUCUUCCCAUGGCACCAUCUCGAUGCUUACCAAGGGAGAAGGGAGAGAAGUGAAAGUGAGUUGAGGGGGAGAAGUGAGAGAGGAGAACCUUACAGGGAGAGAAGAGAGAAGAGAUAGAGAGAGCUGUAAGGGAAGAUAGAUGAGGGAUUUGGGCCGGGGGAAAAAAAUAAGGGUGGGCCCCCCUUGGGCACACCAAUUAAGACCAAAAGCAUAAUUUCAAAAAUAAAUAUCCCAAAAGCAACAAAACAAAAUACCUCUCAUACGUGCAAUGAUGAAAUUGCCCUCGUUCCAAAAUCCGUAACUAAAUUUGGGACGGGUUGUUACAAUCUACCCCCGUUAAGAAAAUUUUGUCUUGAAAUUUGAAAUAACGUAUUAUACAUAAAUACUCAAAGAUAGGAAAGAAUAUAUGUAUGAAGAAGAAAUCAAGACAGACAUGACAAACCUUGGGCCCGACAUGACAAAUGGAUGAAAUCGUUGGUAUAGGUCUCCAAUGAGCCUUUCUAAGACACAUGGGAAAAAUACAUGUUGAAGUCCAGUUGAUCGCUCGGCCCAAACCGUUGGAGAAGUGAUUCGGUAAAGGUGGCCCAAAGCCCAGACCCAAUGUGCAACUUGUACCAUUUGAACCAAAGGGCAACAUCGCCAGUGAAAUAGAGCCUUGCGAUUGUGACUCGGUUGGCGUCGUUGACCCCGUGAUAAUCCAUAUAUUCCUUCGCUAGGGCUAGCCAACUGUACGGGUCAUCCCCGGAGAAUCGAGAAAGCUCAAUCUUUAUGUGUUUCGGGCCAUUGAAGGUAAGUGGUGCCUCGGAAAGAAAGACGGCUGUUGUGGAAGGUGAAACGAAGAGGAUGGAAUGUGGGGACGGAGGGUGGUGGUAGAUGUUUGCCACAUCAUUUUCUUUCGCAUGUGAAUCAUUCUUUUCUGAAAAUGUUAGUCUCCCUUUUCUUCUUUUGGAUGUAUCCCACAUGACCCUUACAGAAUACUGACCCAAUCUUGUAUGGAUCUUGAAAGGGCAGGAUCAGCAUUUUCGCAAAAAUUUGUCCUGAUGAUUAAAAAGAAAGUUUUUUGGGGUUUUUGGUUAGUUUUCUAUUUUUAUAUACCUACUUUUUAUUAUUUUUAAUACAACAACAACAACAAAGCCUUUUCCCACUAAGUGGGGUCGGCUAUAUGAAUCCUAGAACGCCAUUGCGCUCGGUUUUGACUUUUUAUUAUUUUUAAUAAUAUAAUAAAAUAUUAAGUAAAGUGAGUAGAGUAAACCCUAUUUAACAGGCAAAGCAAAGAUGGUCUUUACCAAUUUAAAAAUCCGAAUGUGACGGUCAUGCUAUGAUCGGAACCAGUGACAGAUGUCCCGACGCACCUUGAAUCGAGAAUCCAUGGCCUUUAUGACUGGCAUAGAGGGCCAGGCAUGGGCACGUUGCACAUAAAGCUUUGAAAUAUUGCUAACAAGAGCUAAAAUCCUUUUGUAACUGCAAAUUAUUCAAACACUGAAUUUUACAAGGGAAUUGUUAUUAGCACUUCAAAAAUCUCAUUCUACAUUCCUCACAAGUGUAUUUUUCUUUCUAAUUAUAGAAAGUUUGAAGUGCUAAUAAUAAUUCUCUUUUACAAGACGACAUUGUUCUCACCAUGCAAUUAAGUCUUAGAAUACAGAUUCUUUCAAAUAAUACAGGUUCCUUUACAAAUACAACUCAAGAAUAAGCUGGAAUUCGGAGUUUUGACACUGGCUUGACUCAAUCAUGACUUUAACGACUCCUGCAAUCCAGAAAAGAAAACACUUUGCAAUGAAACCCAUUUUACUCGGUCGUCAGAAGAUUAUAAGGUGGUAAGGGAAAACCCAGUCGACGAAGCGAUGCACUACAAAGAAUUGUGUGACAUUUAGAAAGCCAUAGUUGUGGCUAUUUUGGAGUAGCUGAUAAGUCAGUAAUGUGGCUGACUUGCAUUGGCAAAAUUCACCAGACCAAUGUAUAGGGUGGGUCGGAAACUGUGUUUGGGUAAGGAACUUCAAAGUAUGAAGAUAUCGCCAAGUGAUGUUAUUUUAAAUACGAGUAUUAUACAGCUAUUUUUUUGGGCAACCUGCUCACUAAAGUGCAACUAAUCAUGGAUUUGUGAGUGUAAUUUCAAAGUUCACAUCGAACCCUAACUGGCUUGAAAAUUAUAACAGCCAUUGGUAAACACAUACCAGAAAACAACAAAAUUCAAAUGUGAAAUACGAUUUCCAGUUCCACUCAAACUUAUAAUUAUCUAAAUUUCUCAUCAACAAAACAACUUGCUCCCUCUUAAAGAGGGAACAAUAUUCGUUGUCAAAGAACAAAACUAGAAGAUUGCAAGAGAUGGAAGCACUAGGCAAAAGAAACACAAUGUAGGUUGCGAAACAAAGUGAUGCUGGGAAAGGUUGACCACAUCCACUAAAGAACCAGAGAGCAAAGAGACAUUGACAUUCGAUUUAGAACCAGAGCAAGAAGAGGCAUGGAAGAAAGGAAGAUAGAACAUGGGAUUUGCUUCAAUGAAGGAAACAAGACUAUCUGACAAUAAAGAGCAAAAAUACUUUUAUUAAUGUACAUAAAUAAGAGAGAUACCAAAUUAUACAAAAUUCGGGAUCUAUUCUCGCCAGAAAAUCAUAUUAUCUUAGAAAAAAAUUACCGCUUUCAAGUACUACAAGUUUCAAUACAAAUGUUAAUUCGAAACGAAGAGAUUUCCCUAAUUGCUAUACCUCAAAAAAUGACAAAUAAUGUAAGACUCCUGCAAUCCAAACCGGAACCAGAUGCCAUCAAAUACACAAAUCACCAAGAUUGAAAAAUGAAAAUCUUCCCCAACAAAUUCAACCAAGUUGAAAGAACAAGAACAUUUUCCAACGAAACCCAUUUCCUCAAAACUUAGUUCACACAAAACUAUACAGAGAUUUGAGACAAGCGAGUCAACAAAUAAUGUCACUACUCCUACAAUCCAUACCAGAACCAGGACAGAAACUAUCGAAGACAAAAACCACCAAGACUGAAAAAGGAAACAAAUCACACACUGUUUGGGCCCAAAAUAUCGGUUUGGGCCGAGAUGUAUUCUCGGCCCGGAAGGCAGUACAAAAAAGGUUACUGUGGAUCAUUUAGUUCAUGGGCUUCCUAACCUAGGUCGGUCAAGUCAUGCUGCAAGACGAGUAAUUGAAUCCUGGCGCAAUAAGGUGUCUCGGCAAGAUAUGGAUAGAAGUGAAUCCGGUUUGAUAAAGGAUUGGGUUCAAAGUCAUAGUGAAAAUAGGACUGGUCGAGAUGGUGUUUGAUGAGAAGAAGAAAUCCUAAUCCAAGUAGGGUUGUAAAUCGGUCUAGAAAGUGCCUGGUGCUAUAAAUAAAAGAAGUUGUGCAUCGUUCAAGCCUCUCCAAUUCAACACACAACUGCCCUGCGCAAAUUCUCUCAACAACCUUGAGAUUUUUUUCCUUUUCUUUCGCCGACACACCUUCAGUUUGGAUAAACAGCACUGCGAAGGCAACCGGUGAUAUCUUCAGUCGGCAUAGAUAACACUGUCACCGUAGAACCAGCCGGUCUCGCAGCAUCUUCAGUCGGCAUAGAUAGCACUGCGUCGAGGGUGAAUGGUUAUCUAUCCAAGUCUUGGUCGAAAAGGAUUUUCGAAUCCUUAUUGGUCGAGGUCAUCUCAUUAGCCUUUUCGGCGAAGUGAGGUGUUACAGCUUAUUAGGCUCGGCACAUUGCACGCCGAGUUAGUUUAUGAUUGGAUACUCUCAAGUGGGAUUUAGAGUUCGGCAUUCCGACAGCCGAACCACGUUUAUUGUUAAGACACAUAUCUGCUUUGAGUAUUUGUGCCCUUACACUUUGGUGUCGAUUCGGCGUGAGUUUACUCUGACGAAUACCAUCACUGUAACCGAAUUCGACAACGACGAUUUGUGAACUUCGUAAGAAUAAGAACCUUGUCUUCAGGUUCGAGAACCCAAGAGGCUGAGAUGUGUUCCUUCCUCGGUCGCAAUCGCAAGACGUAGAAGUCAGCCGCGAACCCAAUGCAACAUCAACAAAUUUUACUUCUCGGCCGAGCUCGGCCAACGAGUUAGCACGCCCCGCAUUCAACCGAAUGACGUAGUUAGCUCAUAGAUUACUCGGCUUGUGCGCCACGUAGGCUUGGUAGUUUUUAGGGUCAGCAUUUUGGCAUGCCAGGUGGGACCCAGUGCUAAACUACGAAGUUCAUGCCAAUUGAAACACGAUCGGUUAAAAAGAAAACAGCUAUGGGAAAAUCAACAACCGAUUUUCCAAUUCAAAACAUAGGACAAAGUGUAUCACAGACACAAAAUCCCCUUAGUGCCGUGACACUUGAGUUCACAAGCGCGACUCGCUGAGAAAAUGAAGUUGGUUUUGGCGGUCAGCGUUGCAGUCUAGAAAUCCCUAACAAAAACACCUACGUUGUCAAUGAAGGGAUAGUGGAGGAUUGUGAUGAGGAUGGUGGUGAAGGCUUUGAUCCACCAACAAGAUCAUUUCUUCGAAGACGACUUGACAAACAGUCUAGGGCGGUUGAACAAACGUUUAGUCGAGGAAUCGAUAAACUGCACGACGUGAUACGUAGUAACAGUGAGGUACAAAACAGAUUGCUUGAAAUACUGGUUAGCAAGGUCUGUGACGACAGGUCAUUCGAUCUUUCCCGGCACUUGCCACAAAGAAAUAAAUUGUUGCCAGUAGUACAGGCCGAGCCAAUUCCUACUCGGCUCAAGCCAAUUGACUUAGAAAAAAAAAAGAGGAUCGAGAAGCAGGACAGAUGAACCUGACCAGAGAGUGGAAGUAACGUCUGUCGAUAUAAUCGAGGUCCAGCGGAUGAUUGAUUCGGCCAUGAAAAAGGGGCCGAAGUUCCCUAAAUUCAUCCAUCCAUACCCAGCUUACGUGGAACGGUUCGAAUAUCCUAAAGGUUUCAAAAUUCCAGAUUUUAGUCUUUUCGCUGGAGAAUCGUCUUUAUCCUUGUUAGAACAUGUGGCUCGUUUCAUCGCGCAAUGCGGAGAUGUCAACAUUGAUUUUCACAAGCUGCGGCUGUUCAACUUUUCAUUGACAGGUUCAACAUUUGCCUGGUAUAUCAACCUUCCACCUAAUUCCAUCCAAAGUUGGGAGGAAUUGGUUGAGAGAUUUCACGAGCAAUUUUAUCGGCUAGGGAUAGAAAUGUCAGUUUCUUCGUUGGCAAGGAUGGCUCAAACGUCUGAUGAGUCACCAAUAGAUUAUCUUACCAGAUUUAAAUCAGCAAGGAAUUGGUACCGAGUACCUCUCCCUGAAGUCGAGUUUGUUAGACUUGAUUUGAACGGACUCGAUGUAGAAUACAAAAAGAAAUUUUUGGGGGCAAACUUUCGGGAUAUGUAUGAAUUAGCCCAGCAUGUUGAGCAAUAUGACUAUUUGCUCCGAGAAGAGAAGAUGUCGAAACCCCUAUCUCGAGGGACGAUUUACAAAAACCCUACGGUCAAUUACGCGUCGACCGAAGGUGAAGAAUCUCAGUACGUCAGCGUGGACGCGACCGAGAUAGUAAUAGAUAAACCAUACGUGUGCAAGGAAUUGACUCAAAUUAAUUCCAAAUAGGUCAAAACCUGCUCGGCCACUGAAGAAACAGCAAAAACAUCAAAAGUUUAUACCUUUGAUAUCACACAGGCCGAAGCAAUUUUUUAUCAAUUGCUAUUAGCGAAGAUCAUUAAACUUCGGCCAGGGCAUAAUAUUCCCAAGGCCGAAGAACUUAAAGGAAGGACAUAUUGCAAAUACCAUAACUCGACAAAGCAUGCAACAAACAAUUGUGUCAUAUUUCGUGAUGAUAUCCAAAGUUGGAUUGACAAAGGCAAGCUAAAGUUUCUUGAAAAACGCAUGACGGUUGAUACAGAUCCAUUCCCUUCAGCGACAGUCGGCAUGGUAAACGCCCGUUUGCCCAAGAGCAAAGGAAAAGAGAAGGUCGAAUUUACCCCAGUACAACACAUUCGGAAGCAAAGCUCCCAACCUCGACUCAAGAUCGAUCUAUUUUCCAACGCGCCACCUACCGCGCUAUCAGGACCGGCCAUAGUUGAACCAAUGUCAAACUACAACGACGAAGAAAAUGGCGGGCCAAUAGUACCACAGAUCCUAAAGAAAGGUUCCCAACCUCGACUCAAGAUCGACUUGUUUUCUAAUGCACCACCCACCAAACUCUCAAGACCUGCCAUAGUCGGGUCCAUGUCAGACUUCAGCGAAGAUGGAAAUGAUGGGCCGAUAGUUCUGUGUAACAAUUGUAAGGCAUGCGUUGUAUUAACUGAGCCUAAGAGGAAACUGCCUCCGAUGCAAAUGCCGACAUCACAACACCAAUCGGCGAUUACAGCAAAACAUUUAAAGGAACCUAGUGAAGGCCAGCGCCAGAAAGUAUUCGACAGGCUCGGCCCAAGGAAACAGACAAAUGGUCAUCCAUCGGUCAGACGGUGCCUUGAUUUCGACGCACCGUUUUACAACGAGGACUGUUAUUCCCGUAAUUCCAGUAGUUCAAGCUCAUGAGCAAAUCAAAAAACCUUCAGGCCACCUGAACCACGUGACCAAUGUUGGUACAACUACAAUUCUCCCACCGGCAUGUAUACCGCAUUAUCCAAAUCUCAGAAACGUCGACGUCAGCGUAUAGAUUGCUUGGCUUGACGACAAGCUACUCAGCCUGUUUUGGCCACUAAAUGGCAGCCAAAAGAGACAACAAGAAGCGGAGAUGAUCGGCCAACCCCAACAAUCAUGGCUGAAUUACAGGUCGAGAAGGAAACCAAUCGGGAUUUCGAAACUACCAUUGAAGUAGCCGAGAAGCGCAUCAAACUUCUUCUUCGGCCAGGGGAAAUGAAAGCUCGUUUCGAGCAAUUUAGGAAAGAGGCCAAAAGUAAACUGCCCCCGUUACCUUUGAAAGAACCACUAAUCAGAGUUCGACGGAAUCUGCACCCUCCAUUCCUCGGUGAAUCAUUGGAAUAUAUGAAAGAAUUUCACAAGAAAUAUUCCGCCAACGACUUGUAUGGGUUGCCGAAGGCUUGCCAAGAAGCUCUUCACCUGGCAUUAACUUGCCCCGAUGCUGAGUAGAUCAUCUAAAAAACCACUGAUCCAGCAAUGAAAGCUAGAUUCUAGCACAUUCGAGAGGCUAGGGUUCUCGGCUUCGAGGUCGACCCAUACACGGAUAUUGACACAACCGAACUUCUUUUUUCUCUUGAAGACCUUCAACACCUUCGGUAUCACUUCGAAGUUUUUUCGACCGUAUCCUUGUUCGGCUUAACGGUCGAUGAGAUAGAACGGGUGGCACGUCUGGACGCUUACCUGGACACUAGGAAUGCCCGUAUCGCCUAUGAGGAACGAGCUCACAAAAUACGGCAUGAGCAGAGUUCGACACCAGAUGCAUGCAAGCCCGAAGACGAUAGUCAAUAGGAUACAGCGUCGGAUUGCAUGGCACAAGCGCCUAAAUAUGUUGAGACACACAGCGAGCCGGUCGCGAAUGCUCUGACACACAAUGAUAUAGUUCUCACUACUCCGGAAGAUGACGACCAUGAUUCAAUGGGUCUUUCAGUCUUUGAAAACAUGGAAAUCAGCAUGGUCCAUGUUCUCCCUGCCGAAUUUCAGCUAACUACACACCAACCAAGUUCCUUGGACUGUGAUGUAGUCACCGAGGAGGCAACACAAGUUGAUUUCGUCACUACUGCUGAAGACGAGUCAACUAACGGCGACGAUAAACUUAAAACAGCCUUGGACAUCUUGUUUCCCCAUUCUUCCUCGACUAAUCUUCAACAUUUAAAACCAUUGUAUGUCACGGCCCAUAUUGAAGGCUAUCCAAUUUCUGAGAUUUUCGUCAAUUGCAGAGCAACAGUCAAUAUCAUGCCUGUAUCCGUCAUGAAAGCAUUACGACGAUCCACCGACGAGCUCAUUCCUUUAGGAAUAAUCAUGAGUAGCUUUGUCGGUGACAAGUCUCAGACCAAAGGAGUACUCCCUCUAGAGGUAAGCAUCGCAGGUCGCAAUCAUAUGACCGUAUUUUUUAUCGUCGACUCCAAGACCGAAUAUAAUGCUUUGCUCGGUAAGGAUUGGAUUCAUCAAACGAAUUGCAUUCCUUCUUCGUUAUACCAAGUCUUUAUUUUUUGGGAUGGUAAAUCGGUCGUGGUCCACCCAGCCGAUACUCAGCCAUUUGAAACCAAUAUGAUUCAGGCCUGCUAUUAUGAUGAUCACGUCGGCUAUAUUACCCUACAAGGUUUCAAUGAAGAUGGAUGGACGACCGACUCGGAUCUCAGUCCAGAAAGCCAUCGAGGUAGGCGCUGAGACUGUCCACCAGGAUUCGACGAGACUCGGUUUGGCCAAUUUGCUCCCCACCAUUGAUGAUUGACAUCAAAAGCGAGAGGCGUCGGGCCGCGGUUUCAUCUACGAUGGAACGCCUGCUGGCCCAUUGGUAUGCUAUUUCCAAGCACCCGCAUUCGGGCAUCAACUUAAUCGAAUUUUUGGUCGAAGAGGAUAACAGCCAUGUACUAUCGUUGGAUAAAGUUCAGGCCGCACCGGCCGAGCUCGACGACAGCCGACCCCAAGUCAAGGAUCCUCUAGAGGAAAUAAAUGUUGGAACGGCCGAUGAUCCUCGGCCUCUAUUUAUUAGUGCGUUAUUACCCCAUGCCAUGAAAGUGGAACUCCAUCAAUUGCUUCACGAGUUUAAAGAUUGUUUUGCUUGGAGUUAUCAUGAGAUGCCGGGUCUCGACCGGACCCUUAUCGAACAUGAAUUACGUAUCAAACCUGGUUGCAAGCAUGUUCGACAACCUCCUCGUCGAUUCUCGACUGAAGUACAACUCGGCAUAAAAUCCGAACUGCUCGAUACAUCGAGUGGUUGGCGAAUAUCGUACCAGUGCUCAAGAAAAAUUGGGCCCUACGCAUUUGCAUUGAUUUUCAAAAUUUGAAUCUGGCAACACCUAAAUAUGCAUAUCCCAUGCCAAUUUCAGAUUUGCUAAUCGACGCCGCGGCUAAUCAUGACAUGCUGUCAUUCAUGGAUGGACAUGCCGGUUAUAACCAGAUAUUUAUUGCCGAGGCCAAUGUUCAUAAAACUGCUUUCCGCUGCCCGGGGGCACUUGGAACCUACGAGUGGGUAGUCAUGCCAUUUGGUCUAAAAAACGCUGGUGCUACAUAUCAACGCGCGAUGAAUACCAUUUUUCAUGACCUGAUCGGCACUACCAUAGAAGUAUAUAUUGAUGACGUCGUGGUCAAAUCAAAAAGUCGUCGAACGCAUAUUGAUGAUCUUCGGCAAACUUUCCUUCGCAUGCGACGACAUAACCUUAAGAUGAACCCGGCCAAAUGCGCCUUUGGUGUGUCGACCGGUAAUUUCUUAGGUUUUCUUGUCCACCAUCGCUGCAUUGAGGUCGAUGUGAACAAAGCUCGUGCAAUUAUUGACGUCCCACCACCGACGACCAAAGAACAACUCCAGUCCUUGCUCGGGAAAAUAAAUUUUCUUCGCCGAUUCAUAGCUAAUUCUGCUGGCAAAAUGACGGCAUUCUCUACACUGUUGAAACUUAAGGACUCAGACAAGUUUGAGUGGCGUGAAGAACAUUGAGCGGCUUUCACACAACUCAAGGUUACCCUUGCAACUCCCCCCGUCCUCGUACCGCCUCGACGUGAUAAACCCCUUAAGCUUUACAUUUCCGCAGCCGACGAAUCCAUCGAUUGCCUCCUAGCGCAAGAUACUGACGCUGGGCGAGAACAAGCUAUUUUCUAUCUCAGCCGACACCUCAAUCCUCCAGAGAUCAAUUAUUCACCAGUUGAGAAGCUUUGCUUGGCUUUGUUCUUCGCCGCAUCAAAACUCUGACAUUAUAUGCUCUCAUCCGUUAUGCAGGUCAUCGCCCAGACAUAUGUUAUUCGAUAUAUGCUUACUCGGCCAAUAGUCAAAGGCCGAAUCGGGAAAUGGACACUGGCACUAUCGGAGUUUAGUUUGCAGUACGUCCCACAAAAAGUCGUCAAAGGACAAGCGCUUGCUGAUUUCUUAGCCCACCACCCUUCUUCAUAUAGGUUCGGGGGCACCGAAGUUGAAUCGGAAUGGUGGAAGCACGUGACAAUUAUUGGACGAUGUAUUUCGAUGGUUCCAGCACGUCAACAUCAACCGGUAUGGGGAUCGUACUCCAGUAUCCACACCAACACCGUUGGUUCUUUUCCCUCAAGUUGGAUUUCGAUUGCACCAACAAUCAGGCCGAGUACGAAACCCUUGUUAUCGGCCUUAGCGUACUUCAUGAUUUGCACGCUGCUCGGGUCCUCAUCUUUGGCGAUUCGUUGCUUGUGAUUAACCAACUUAAUGGAACUUUUUGGUGCAUAAGUUGUACUCUGGCGCCCUAUCACAUGGUGGCCAGUUACUUGGCCGAGUCAUUCACUUGUAUCACGUUCAAUCAUAUUUCCCGUGGACGGAACACCAUCGCAGAUGAACUCGCUCAGAUAGCCUCCGAAGAACAACUCCUAGGGGCAAGAGUGGACCGAUGAUACCCGUUUUACGGCAACGUGUCCGGCUUUGGUUAAUCAACAAGUCCUUUAGCGGGACCAAGUCAUCCGUACACGGGUAAUGUCCUUACCUUCCUUAUUGGAACGGGAGGAUCCUGUAGAUGUUUGCGCGAUCGAGACGCUACCAAACGACUGGAGAAUGCCAAUUAUGCAAUACCUUGAUGAUCCCAGAGGCAAGCAUGACCGAAAGAUAAGGUUCCACGCCAUAAACUACGUCUCGUACCAGAAUGAGUUGUAUCGAAAAGGCGAGGACGGUUUAUUACUGUUAUGCCUCGGCCCGCAAGAAGAUGUCCAAGCAAUCACAGAGGUACACGAAGGAAUUUGCAGAGCCCAUCAAUCAGGACGCAAGAUGCGUUGGCUACUUCACCGACACGGUUACUUUUGGCCAAGCAUAUUGAAAGAUUGUAUCGAGUAUGCACGAAGAUGCGUCCAGUGUCAAAUUCAUAGACCCAUCCAAAGGGCCCGACCGAAUUACUUCAUUCGGUCACCAAACCUUGGCCGUUCAAAGGAUGGGCAAUGGACGUGAUUGGCAAAAUCACACCAUCUUCUGGAUCAACGAAACAUGCAUGGAUACUCGUGGCAACAGAUUAUUUCUCUAAGUGGGUCGAAGCAAAAUCAUACGCCGAAUUAACAUCCAAGGAGGUUUGCGAUUUUGUGGGGGAACAUAUUGUGACCAGGUUCGGCGUGCCAUAAACAAUCAUAACUGACAAUGGCACAGUCUUCACAGCCAAAAGGUUCAAAGAUUAUACGGCGAGCUUAAAAAUUCGGCUUGAGCAGUCCACACCAUACUAUCCACAAAUGAAUAGACAAGCCGAAGCAAGUAAUAAGGUUUUGAUCGGUAUUCUUGAGAAAAUGAUAAAAGAAAGACUUGGCAUGUGGCAUUUAAAAUUGAAUGAAGCCUUAUGGGCAUACCGAACUUCACCCCGGUCGGCAACGAGGACCACCACAUAUGCGUUAACCUAUGGACAUGACGCAAUGUUACCAAUCGAGCUAAGUGUAAAUUCUUUACGUGUGAUCGAGCAGAGUAGUUUGUCCAACGCCGAAUAUAAUCAGGCCAUGUUAUAAGAGUUAGAAGAUUUGGAAGAAGAUCAGCUUGACGCUUACAAUCUUCUAGUGGCACAAAAGAAAAUUACCGAGCGAGCUUAUAAUCAAAGAGUCAAACAAAAAACGUUCGGCGAAGGAGAGUUAGUUUGGCAAACUGUGUUACCAGUGGGAAUUAAAGACCCCAGGUUCGGCAAAUGGUCGCCGAAUUGGGAAUGACCGUUUGUCAUCCAUAAAGUUCUCAGUAAGGGGGCAUACCAUCUUAGAGAUCGAACCGGUAUUAUUCACAAAUUACCAAUUAAUGGAAAGUUCUUAAAAAAAUACUACCCAGUCACAUGGGAGAUGCAAGAGUAAAAGCUUGUUUCAUUUCAUUAAUAAGAAGGUUUACAAUCAAAUUAUUCUAAGGCGAUGAAGGAAGAAGAGUUCCAAGAAGUGCCUUCAGCUCCAGCCACCUCACCUCGCCCAUUAUGACUUAAGCUCGCCUGUUCUUCUUGUCCAACUUCAGCUGCUUGACUCGCUUCGCAUUCCCCGUAAAUUCGGUUAGACAAGAUUUCCCGCUCGACUCAAAGUCCCUUGCAAGCUCAAAAGCAAGGGCCGACCUUCGUUUUGCCAGUUCGGCCAUUUGACGGUCGAGGUCGGCCAAGGCUUCCUCUUUUGUCUUUAAGGCAUCGAUCUUCGGACGAAGAGUUUCUUGAACGGCCAGUGCAGUUUUCAAGUCAUCAUCAUUCCGAAUAAUGUUCUCGAGAAUACUGAAGGAUUCCCAAACUCACUCCAAGGCGGACAACGCCUGAACGACAGCCUCGGCGCUCAUUUGACCAUCUGCUCCGAGAUCGUUUAGGCAUGCACCCAACGAAUUGAGCCCUUUACGCUCAAGGACUUGUGAUGCCGAGAGAGAUAAAACUUCUUGUAGCCGAACCAGAGCAGCUGAAUCGGCAGGUGUAAUCGUAGCGGCCGAAGGACCAGCCGCUCCAGAAGUGCUUGACAAAAGAGCAUUAAAUUCGACUUCCCAUGAAGGCUGCACACAAAAAUCAUGUUAAGUACAAGGAAAUUAUGAAAGAAUAUAGCAAGAAGGUUUUUGUUUUAAACCUGCCGAGAGGAGACUUCUGUCAUAUCUUCGUGUUCGUUGCUCAAACCUAAAGAACUUAAUGGCCGAGCCCAGUGCCUUAGACUGUUUCUUAGUUUACGCGGUCGAUAGAGGUUAUCUACGUUCGAUGGCCACUGAGGCGGCCAAGAAAUAUAGAUAACACCCUUCGACGCGUAGAAUGUUCAAUGAAAAGAAUGGGUAGGCACCUGACAUUCAGUAUCUUCCUGGUUUAGAGAUCUAAGGUAUAAAAGUAACCAAAGAAAGGUGGCAAGGGUACUUACGAAGGUUAAAGUAGCUUCUUGAGGAGAAAUGUUGAGGUCCUGGUCCUAAGGAUGAACGGGUGUUUCCGCCGUCGCUUCUGGCUCGACGGCAGGUCGUUUGCCACGAUUAACCGCAGAAGGGCCGACUUGGACAACCGCCUCUAAGGCAUGGGGAGACGGAUCGCGUGGUUGAAGGUGACUCGUCAAUGGAAUCUCAUCGCUCCCGUUGCUCUCUUCGGGAAGUUUCUUCUCUGCCGAGGGGACCGCCCCUUCCAAGACAGGCGUAGCAGCUGGCCCCAAGGUUGCAAGCACCUCGACCAGUGGAGCAACGAUUGGUCCAGCGACUUGAGGAACAGGUCGUACAUGAGCUAUUUCUUUAGCCGGAAUUGGCCGUUUCUCUGUCAAAACUUGGACGACAGGGGUAGAAGGGGAAACACUAGGAGUCGUCGCUCCCGUAGUUUGACUGGAGAUAACAUGAAUCUCCCGUUCUCCUUUCCUAUCCAGCUUCUUGACCCGUUUUACGGGGUGAGGGGGGUCGAGGGCCGUCUCGGCCUCUUGACGAGGCCAUUUUCUCAGCAAGGCCUGUGCGGUAGUUUUAGCCCUUUUGGAGAUGGUCGAUUUUUUCCCAGCCGCAGCCGCAACGACCACUUCUACCUUUUUUAGUGACCGACCACCUGAGAAAGCAAAAGCAAAUUAGUAGAGUUCAAAGUUGAAGGAAGAAGGUAGAAAUAGACCGUUACCUUGAGAUUGGGGGGCAGAAGCCUUAUUGGGUCGACCGCCGAAGAUCUUAUUCAGGACGUCUUCGACCGGAGCACCAAAAAAGUUUUGGGUAUACUCUUCCCACCAAUCAUCGAAAGUGUCAGUGCUAAGAGAUUCUGGAACGGUUGGUCGAAAGUGGAAUUUUUGGCACCGUUCUUGAAACUCCUUGGCAUCCUUGCACUCAUUGUCUAAAGAGCCAGAUAGGCGUCCUCGACUCAGCAGGGAACGAGAGGUAAGAAGAGGCACCGGGCAACCCUAAAAAUAACCGAGUUGCCGAGCAGUGAAUUGGGGGUGAUAUACUUCCCAACUUGCUCGGUGCACGUCACACCUAAGAGGAAGGUCGCAGGUAAGCACAAACGACCCCCAGGAUUGACGAAGAUCAGCAUCAUCAUCUGCACUGCAUGCUGAUGUGGGGAGUUUGAUCGACAAAGGAUAUUCUCGACGACAGCAGACCAAGAAUUCAUCGUCGGAAAGGGCAUCAAGGCUGAAGAAGUAUCUGAACACGUCUUCAACUUGGUGAGGAGGUACUGGUCGAGGAGCCACCUGAAGGCCGGGCGCUUCAGUAGGUGAGAAGCUGGUAAGCUCUAGCCGAAGGGUGACAAAAUAAACCUGCAGCCAAUGCUAGAAUACCCAGAGGGGACCAUUCUGGUGUGGGUCGAUCUUGUGAAGGGUCAUCUCGGUCAAACAAUGCAGGAGAUGGGCAAGAAUGGCUGGACUGAGUGCUAGGGUGUGACCGCUAGCUAGGGCUUCGGCCACCGGCAUGUUCUCGACCAAGCAUUUGUUGGACUUGGUACAACAAAUAAAUUUGUUAUACCAGUAGAAGAAGAAGGCUUCGUGUUCCUCCUGUCGUAGGUUCUCAUCCCCUCGGCCGGCAAAGUGAAGAUAGAGAGUGUUGUAGUUGAGGAAGUUUUUAUAAAGUUUCUGAACUUCCUCAUUUGAGGGUUCUUGGCCCUCUUCGCUCAGUGUUUCGAUGGCCCGAUUAUUGAAAAGAGCAUUCAGGUCAAUGGUCGACGGGUACCCGGAGAGGGUAGCGUCAACUAGGAUGCCGAAAGGGGAAGUCCCUAAGAUUGCGGUGAUAUCAAGGAUAGUGGGGCCCAUGGGGCCGAGGGGAAGGAUCAUGGUGUUGGUAGCUGAGCACCAUAGGCUUGAGACUGCCAUAAGAAGCUCCUUAUCCAUGACGAGUUCUAUAGACGAAAGACGAAUGGCAUCGUAAAUGCCAAGAGCUUUCCAUUGCUCGCAGAAGAUCUUUUCCAUCCAAGCAACCCAGGCUGCCUAGGUCGCAGUGGUCGAGGGCCAGGAGCCUUGGGGUUUCGCCAAAUCCCAUCUCGACCAUUCAAACCUUGACAGUAGGGGUGUUAGGCAUUGAUCCUUGAAGAGCUCGGUAAUGGCUGGUGGCACUGCAUCCUUGAAAAGUGGACCAAGGAUUUGGUGGGGGGUGCUCAUAUUGCUAUCAAAGCGCAGAGUCUUAAUUGAGCACUGAUCGAUGAUUGUCCCACAUUUGUCGCAUUCCUUAGAGAGCUUGGAAAUGAAAGAGGCCAUUGGAAAUGGUUUCGAAGGGUUUAUGGGAGAAAGUCAGGGGGUUUCUUUUAAUCUUUGAGCAAGAGAGAGUUUGGAAAAUUUGAAAGCGUAAAGAAUGAAUGAUAGAAGGCCAGGUAUUUAUAGACUCCUGGAAUGGAAGACCAAACGGGGAUAGUGAUCGGGAAGAUCGCUAAUAAUGAUGGAGUGAUGGAGAAUAUUAACAGACUCAAGAGAAAGAACCAAAAAAUUCGCAGAUUAAGGGGUCAUGAUGAUAUCGUGACGGCGUCCUUUUAUGAAGAAAUGACGUUUUAGUGUUCGCAUGAUCUCGAGGGUAUCGAAAGAUUCGCAAAUCGAGAUUGCAUGAUGACAUGCGGCGAUAUGUAUAUUGAUUUGAAGACGUUUGGACAUUCGCAUGUCUUGAGGAAUUCAAAAAUCUCGCGGAUCAAAGGGGUAAUGAUGAAAGGACACUUCAGGUUAUGCUGAGAAGAGGACACUUGACGAGAUAUCUGACGAGAUCAAGAUCAUGCAAUCGUGCUUCAUAAAUGCUCAUCGGGAGACGAGGCCUGGUGUCGCUUUUUCAAGGUCAGGGCUUGGCCAGAGACUUCAGACCGAAAAAGUCCUUAGAAGCGAUGGGGCAAUGUUUGGGCCCAAAAUAUCGGUUUGGGCCGAGAUGUAUUCUCGGCCCGGAAGGCCGUACAAAAUAGGUUACUGUGGAUCAUUUAGUUCAUGGGCUUCUAACUUAGGUCGGUCAAGUCAUGCUGCGAGACGAGUAAUUGAAUCUUGGGGUAAUAAGGAGUCUCGACAAGAUAUGGACAGAAGUGAAUCCGGUUUGAUAAAGGACUGGGUUUAAAGUCAUAGUGAAAAUAGGACUGGUCGAGAUGGUGUUUGAUGAGAAGAAGAAAUCCUAAUCCGAGUAGGGUUGUAACUCGGUCUAGAAAGUGUCUGGUGCUAUAAAUAAAAGAGGUUGUGCAUCGUUCAAGCCUCUCUAAUUCAACACACAACUGCCCUGCGCAAAUUCUCUCAACAACCUUGAGAUUUUUUUCCUUUUCUUUCGCUGACACACCUUCAGUUUGGAUAAACAGCACUGUGAAGGCAACCGGUGAUAUCUUUAGUCGGCAUAGCUAGCACUGCGUCGAGGGUGACUGGUUAUCUAUCCAAGUCUUGGUCGAAAAGGAUUUCUGAAUCCUUAUUGGUCGAGGUCAUCUUAUUAGCCUUCUCGGCGAAGUAAGGUGUUACAGUUUAUUAGGCUCGGCACAUUGCACGCCGAGUUAGUUUAUGAUUGGAUACUCUCAAUUGGGAUUUAGAGUUCGGCAUUCCGAUGGCCGAACCACGUUUAUUGUUAAGACACAUAUCUGCUAGGAGUAUUUGUGCCCUUACACUUUGGUGUCGAUUCGGCGUGAGUUUACUCUGACGAAUACCAUCACUGUAACCGAAUCCGACAACGACGAUUUGUGAACUUCGUAAGAAUAGUAACCUUGUCUUCAGGUUUGAGAACCCAAGAGGUCGAGAUGUGUUCCUUCCUCGGUCGUAAUCGCAAGACGCAGAAGUCAGCCGCGCACCCAACGCAACAUCAACAAAUUUUACUCCUCGACCGACGAGUUGGCACGCCCCGCAUUCAACCGAAUGAUGUAGUUAGCUCAUAGAUUACUCGGCCUACGCGCCACGUAGGCUUGGUAGUUUUUAGGGUCAACACACACACACAAAGACAAGACCAAAGAACAAAACCAGAAAACCUUAAACUUUCUAAGCACAGACCAGAAAAACAAAAUUAAAGAACAAAACCAGAAAACAACAACAAAAUACAAAUAUGCUCAGUUAUACGAUAAAACUCAUAAUCACUAUGCAAAAAGUCCUAAAUUUUCUAAGCAAAGUGCAAUCAAAACACAUAAUCAAAGUAGAAAACCAAAACACGAAACAGAAACACAGAACCAAAGCACAAUAUCAAAACUUGUUAAGCACAGAUUAUUAGAAAACGAAAGAGAGAUGUACCGAUACACAAAUGUUGCUUAAUUUCCUCUAACACAGGCGAAUAACCUAACAACCAAACACAUACAAUUUAGUUCAUGAAUCGAUAUUAUCGCAUAUAGAUAGUUAAGUAGAAGCUCUCAAAAAGUUAAAUUAAUUUUUACCUCAAGCGAUGGAGAUCGGGGAUCACUACUGGGUCAUCCCUCAGUUCCUCACCCACUAGCCGGAAUAUGACCUUCCCGUUCUCAGCAAAAUAGUUUGCCUGAAAGAUCAUUCUCGCCGUUUCACCGCCGGGAAGCACGGCGGUGACAUGAAUGCUCCGAUGAAGACGAGUACGUAAGCUUCGGUUUAUGAACUUGCUGCCCUUGAUCUCUCUGCUCUCCCUAGUUCCGAGCCUAAUAAUCAAUCUGCCCCGCCUUUCAUCGCCAUCCACCUCCAUUAUCUCAAGAACCACACCCGGACUCGUCGCGUUCACGAGCUCCACCGAUCGACAGAGAACGCCACCCAUUGAAAAGUCGAUUUUCCCCACCCAAACCACCGGAAGCCACUGCCAAAAGGAUCUCCAUGUCGCGCGCUCACUUUUAUAGGGUUUCCUCCCCACGCGUUUCCUUUUUUUUUUUGGCGGGGGACGUUGGUGGCUGCAAUGUUUUGGCUUCUAGAUGCUGCCUGCUGCUCGAGUGUCGUGGAUUCAAGAAUCUAACUAAAAGUCGCAGAUCCCACGAAGAACAAACUUAUUCCCUUUCCCAGAGAAUCUGAAACUAGUAUUGUUUGUCCGAAAUACCCCUCACUUUAUUGAUAAUUCCAAAUGGAAAAAACGGUUCUUUCUUAUAUAUGAGAAUUAGGUCUGGUUUAGUACUGAGGUGAUUCUGAAAAAAAUAGGUAUAAAAAAAAGCUGGGAGUUUUUUUGUGUUUGGUAAACAUUCAACUUCAACUUUUUUUUCACAGUUUUGGGUGAAAAAGGCCAAAAACAUAAAGCUGCAAAACCCAGCUUUGAAAAACCGGUUUUUUUUCACAUCUGUUUGACAUAAAAGUUAACCAAACACUAUAAUACUGUUUUUUUUUUCAAAAGCACUAUUACAAAAGUUUACCAAACACUCUGCUACUUUAUUUCACAGUUGCUUAUUCUCACAGCACAACAAAAUUAGCUUUUUUUUUAAGCACAACAAUACCAAACCAGUCAUUAAUCUGGUCAUGAUAGAUAGAACCCUUUUAAUCAAAGAAAAACUAAUGAAAAUGGCUUGAAAACUUUGAGUUUUAACGAUAAGGACAAAAUAAAAGGUAAAGUGAAUAGUACUAGGUUUGACUUUUUUGUGUAAAAAUGUGGUUUUUCGUUAAAGUGAACUGUACCGCGGACUUUUCGUUAAAACUCCUUUUAAUCAAUGUUUCCAUUAAUUUAUUUAGGGGUGUGCUAUCCACACACCUUAUUUUACUUCUCACACGCCCUUUGAUAAUUUAUGUCCGUUGAUAUUCUUCAAUACAUCUGAUCUGAUAGCCGAAAAUUAAAAAGAUGUGUGAGAAGUAAAAUAGGAUGUGUGGAUAUCACACCCCUUUAUUUAAUCUGAAAGCUAAAGAUAAAAAAAAAGUAUGUAAAGCGUUAAUUAAUUUCACAUAUGCGUGAAAUUAAUUUCUUUUAACAACAUAUUGAUACAAUACCGAUAGCAGAAAGAAACUGUUAAUAGUCCUGCGAUUUUGUUCAUUCCAUAAUAGGCGAAAGCUAAUAUUGUUCUAUGCGUAAUAGGAGUUAAGCCGUUGAUAUUUCCUAUAACUUCUUUUGACAUCUUUGCCCCUUGAACUACAUAGUGGUGUGAACUAGUUUUGGUGCCCCUGCCACAGAUAGGGGCAAAAAUUUCGCCUGAGUUCCUUUGUAUUCAAGAAUAUGUAAAAGCCAAUAGCAAUGUAUACCAACCAUUAAGAUUGAAUUUUUCUUGUUUUUCAGAAGGUAGUAUCUAACGGGAAAUACUGAAAUGGUUGUGCUAUUCUUUCACUUGUCAUACCAGUCACAAUUUUUGACCUUUUGAUCAAAUGAAUUGAGAGUUAAUGAACACAAAUUGAUCAAAGUGUGUGAAAAGUAAAAAUACGAUAUUGAAAUCACUUGAUUAUGAGAUAGAAAGAGGAUCUAGCAGUUUUUAUAGUUUAUUUGAAAUGAUUGAAAAUUGUCUUUUCAAGAGAUGAGUCAAAGAGUUCCAAGGAAUUUUUUUAUUUACCUACUUUUUAUUAUUUUAAUAAUAUAAUAAUAUUAAUAUAUUAAGUAAAGUGAGUAGAGUAAACCUUUUUUAAGAGAGAAAUAUAGUCUUUACAGGACAAGGAUCCUCUUUGAAUUCUAUUUGUCGGAAUAUAGGAAUCAAUCAAUUGUGUCUAUUUAUUGUACAUUGUGUAACCAUUUUUUAUUAAGUAUUAUUUAUAUUCAAUUUUAAAUUUUAAAUUUUAAAUUUAAAAUGAUUUGUAACUGCAUGAUGUACGAUAAACAGACACGAUUGAUUGAUUAUCUGGAUCCCCACAAAGAAGAUCUUGAGAAGAUCAUAUUCUGUCUUUACGAAUUUAAAAAUCAUAGACUUUUUCCUCAUUGAUUGCCUUAGCCCUUGGAAAGUCCGAAUGUAAAAGAAAGAUAAAAUAGAGAAUGUGAGAGGAGGGGAGAAAAGGAGAUCAAAAGAGGAGUGGAGAUAAUUCUAAUCCCACAAAUUAUCAUGUGGUGAAGUGUUAUUAAACAAGUGCACUUUUUGAAGAGAUUUUUCUUUGUACAUCAAUCUGUACACUAUUUGUCAUACACAAGUAGAGAAAACGGUAUUUUUUUUCAUUCUCUUCACUUUUAUUAUAAUACUUGUUGUGUCAGCUCGUGUUUUGAGAAUGCUAAAAAGAGGUGAUAUUCACACACUUCAAAUUAUUUUUACUACACUUUUUUUUAUGUGUUUUGAGAAUACUAAAAGGAGGUGAUAGUCACACACUUCAAAUUAUUUUUACCACACUUUUUUAUUUUAUUUUUAGUAUUCUACUCAUCACUAACACUUGAUAAAAAAUAUUAAAAUUUUAAAAUAGUGAGAAAAGUAAUUGGAGGUGUGAAUAUAAUCUUUCUAGUAAAAAAAAUCUCUCUGCUUAUUUAUUGGAGCUGCCUCUUGAGAUCUAGCUAGGAUCUCAGGCAACUCGGUUUUAAGUCUCGAAAAUACUAUUGGUACCUCUCCACAAGCUUGAAGAAAAUGAUACCGUAAACACGAAAAUUCUGCGACAAAUGAGACAAGAACAUAUGUACAAAGUAAAUGUUUGUAUUAAUGAAUUUGUAGGGUUACAAUCUCUUUAUGACUUGAUCCUCUGAUUCGAUCUCCGAAAUGUGUACAUGUGUAGUGUUGUUGAUCCAAGGGUCACGAUGACCUGAUCUUGAAUGAAUGAAUCCCUUAAGGUUUUGGCUCUUGGCAAUGGAGGAACCGGCACAUGUAGGGGUGUUUGGUGGUUCUUCAUGGGAUUUGAUGAAGAACAUGAAGGAUUUUCCGAGUCUUCUUGAGUGUUUGAGUGUUUUGGAGGGGGGGUUGAAUGCUUGAGAGCUUCAGAAUUUCAAAGCUUCAACGUCUGGGUGUGAAAUGAUUUUUGGACUUUCUUUUCCGUCUUGGAGCCUCUUAUUUAUAAACUUUCCAAGCCUUGACUACGAAUGGAUUUUACCUUGAUUGUGGGCUUGAUUAAUUGACGAAAGAACCAAGACUUCAUUUGUAGGCCGGUUCGUGAUUUGACUUCAUCAAUUAACAUUUGAUUUUAUUAAAUUAAAAUCAAUUAAUUCAUUUCCGCCAAGUGUUGACACGUGUCAUUCUUGAUGACUCGUCCAAUUUUGUUGAGUCACACGCCAUGUGUACAAUUUGUGCAACACGUGGCGCAUGUCACAUAUGCUCUGGAAUGUCGAAACUUUAAUGCGUUGGUGAACAUUUAUUUCACCGAAAUUUCGAUGUCUACAAAUGCCCCACUUCAAGGUGCAUCAUAUGCAUGUGCUUGUCACGUGUAAAAGAUGUGUUUUGAAGUCCCUCGCAUAGUGAAUGUAUUUGGCCACUGUGUUUUGAAGUCUUUCAACGUAGAUGUCAAGUCAAUGGCCGUUAAGACUUGAUCUUGAAUUGGGCUGGAAAUUUCUUCAAGGGCCGUUAAUGCAUGUGCUUGUCACGUGUAGAAAAUGUGUUUUGAAGUCCCUCGCUUAAUGAAUGUAUUUGACCACUAUGCUUUAAAAUCCCUGAAUGUAGAUUUUGAUUCAAGGGCUGUCAAGGCUUGAUCUUGAAUUUGGCUGAAAGUUUCUUCAAGGGUUGUAGAUGAUUGGUCUUGAAUUGGGCUGAAAGUUUCUUCAAGGGCUGCCGAUGCUUGAUCUUGAAUAAAAUUAGACCACAAGGAGCUUCACGUGGUGAGUGGUCUUCAGCUUUGUUGGGGUUGAGUCGGCACAUGUAGUUGUGCUUGUUGAUUCUCCGCGAGCUUGGUGAAGAACAUGAGUGUUUUCUUUAGCCAGAGAGCUUUCUGGUUUCCUCCAAAGGUUUGGCUUUACUUUAUUUCUUUGGAGUCGAAUUUGAUCCAAGUUUGGUGGAUACCUGAUCUAGAAUCGAACUUGUGAUUUCUUCAAGGGUCUUUGAGGCUUGAUCUUGAAUGAGAUGAGACCACGAGCGGUUUCAUGUGGUGGGUGGUCUUUGGCUUUGGUAGUUGAUGAAUCGGCACGUAUUUGUUGUGCUUAUUGAUUCUCCACGACCUUGAUGAAGAACACGAUUGUUUGGGUGUUUGAUAGAUUUUUGGAUGUCCGAGCUUCGACUUGCUUCAUUUUUGCUCUCCGAAUAAGUGCUUAAUAUUUAUAGGCAAAUAAUUUGGCUCGAUUUGAAAAACUCAAUCUGAGCAUUAGGAUCGCCACGCUACUUUGCGCCAUCCUACACACACAUAAGGGAGUGUGCUCGUUGCAAGGAAGUGUGAUCGUUGCAAGGAAGGCUGCUCGUUGCAAGGGAAUCUGCUUGCUACAAAGAAGCUUGUCGUAAAGAAGUGUGUUCACCGCAAGGGAGGCUUCUCGCAACAAGGGAGUGUGCUCGUCACAAGGAAGUGUGAUCGCUGAAGGGAGUGUGCUAGCCGUAAGGGAGGCUUCUCAUCGCAAGAGAGUCGAUGAAAUGCAUGUACUGCUACUGCUGCAAGCGAGUCGCCCGACUACAUGCACUGUUGUUACCUAUGAAGACGAUGACACACUGUAACAAACUGUCCCUAAUUUUACGAUUUUAUAAAUUUUAAAAGUGUGAGUUGACCAAAAUGCCCUUAGAAGAUAGAUUGUUGACUUUCUUUGACCGUCUCUUCGUGACGCGUACGAACUAUUAUUUUACUGUAUUCUCGAAGUACUCUACGGUACGAACGCAUAGGCGCAAGCAAAACUGAAUUUGGAGUUACAAAGAAGAUUUUACAAAUUACGGAAUGUGAUGGUCGUUUUGGUAAAUUCACGUUUACGGGAGAUUAUUUGAUUUUGUUUUUUUUUUGGCCUUGGGUUGUGUACCACAUGGGCCCACGCCCUAUUCCUUCCAUCUCAUUCGUGCUUCCCUCCAUGUGUCUUCUUCUCUGUCUUCUUUUCUUUUCCCUCACUUUCUCUUCUUUUCUCGAACACUCUCUUUUAACUCUCCCUCCCAAACUCUCUUUUAUCUAUGAACCACAAGGAAGCUAGGAUGAAACCACACCAUCACAAAUGCUCAUCCUCCUUUAAUACUUCUUCUUCCUUCAAUACUUCUCCCUCGGUUUCACUGAUGUCACCGACAAACCAUCACCACUGCAGCCACCUGACCUCACCAUCUCGACGAGAUUAUAACUUCCAUAACCUGAUCAUCACCACUCAGUUUGUGUGACUAGAGAUGAGAGGUAAAGCCUUGAGCUUGUUCACCUCUCUUUCGUCUCUUUCAUCUGCAAAUAUGGCCAAACCACUUCGGUACCAUAUUUUCCAGUGAGAAUCUCACCUUUACGGUGAAAGUAAGGCUUCAACGACCCUAAAUGAUUCCCUUAUAAUGUUUUGAAUGAGAUUUAAGUUCAUAUGAGUGAUUUUGUAGAGUUGUUGCAGGAAAACACAUUGGGGAAAGACUUCCCCAAAUUUUUGGAAUUUUUUUUUUGAAACCGUGGCCAUCCGACCAUUUUCAGACCAAAUUCCAGGCCAACACCAACCACAAUUGGGCUUCCAAUAGGUAUAGAUCGAUUCCCUACAUUUCUGGCUUCAAGUUGGUUUUUGUAUCAUCGAAUUUGGUUAAGAAUCGAGCUCGAAAUGAGCUCUGAAAGUCGAGGGAAAUAUCUGCAAAAAUCUAGAAAUCGUGGUGACGGCGCGUGGAUGCGUGUGGUGGCCGAGCCACCUUAUGGCGACUUGUGGCGGCACGUGCGGCGACACGUGGAUAAACUCGAUGUCCAUCUUUAGGUUUCUCAACGUGCCAAAUCCGAAUUCGCCGUCCGUUUUCUGAAAUUUGACAGUUUUAAAUUAGUUCCUUUAUUAGCCGUACUUUGUACGAAAACACGUAAUUAUGUUAGUACAUUAUAUUUACGUAAAUGGUUUCGUUUUUCGGUGAAACGCAUCGCAAAGAUCUUUGAUGCCCACGAGGUGGGUUCGACUCGACGACAUGAUUUGUGAGUGGGUCUUUUCUUUGAUAUAUACAUAUAUUUUCUUAGUUUCCAUAUAUACAUCUAAUAAUGAAUUUUCUAUAUGACUGACUUAAUCAAAUUUACGGCUAUGAAUAAUAUCAUGUUGACUAGAAUUAUCGGAUCACUACGGCAUUACUAUAUUUAUGUUAUUUGCUCAUCAUUUGCUGCAUUGGUGUUAGUAUUCGCCUGGGCCUAGGCCAGUCUUUCACGUGUAUGUGUACAUCACAUCGUAUGCUCACCUUGGAUCAAUUUUAGGUGCCAGUCCUAUCUUAGAUUGCUAUAAGCAAUUAGGAUUAGUAUGUUCUGCGCAUAGCGCCAGUAUUCACGUCAUUGUAGUACUAUAUCGUAUAUCAUUGUUACACCCAAUCAUGUUCAUGUCAGAAUAUCUCUGCACGAACUCGUGUGUCAGCAUGUGUCGAUAAGUACUCGAUAUGAUAUGUUUGCUUAUGCGAGAUUAUGUGAUUAUAGACUUCAUGUGUUCAUUUACGAAAUAUUGUGCCGUAUUCAAUUCUUAAGAUAUUGCAUGCUAUGAUAAGUUUUGUUUUACUAUACAUAGUAUGUAUAUUUUGGAAACUAUACUUGUUUUACGGCGAGAGGUUAUUAUGUUUUCGAAAAGAUUUUUACAAAGCUUUACUUUUAGGUCCACUCACCCUUGUUUUUCGCCCUUCCAGGUUUUAGUGGUGAGCUUUUGUGUUGACGAGGAUUCUUGGCAAAUCUUGGUAUGGGUGGUUACUUUCGAUGGUAUAAUUCUCAUCCUCCUUUAUUGUACUUUACUUAUGCUCUAACAUCACGUGUGAAAUGGGUUUGUUCCCGUUCACAAGCGCACUCUUAUAUUUAGGCAUUUUUAGGUUUAAAUUUAUUCACUUUGUCCAUAUCAUUACACUUUAUGGCUUCAUCACCCUCCUAGUGUUAGCCAGCACAGCUCGAUUCGGAGUCUAGGUGAAUAUUCCAGGUCGGGGUGUGUCACACACUGCUGUUUGUGAAAACUAGCCACUAUGACGACAAGCUGUGAUGCUACUAUGAUGACAAACUUUGAUGCCACUGUGAGGAAAAGGACAUACUGCUACCUGAGAGGACAAAGACAUGUCAUUGUUGGUUGCCACUGCUACAUGUGCCGUUUAUGGGACUACGUUGCCUCUGAUGCACAUUGCGCUUGCACCGCAUUCCAAACUCUCUGUUCCACAUUACUUUUGCUGCUUGCUCAUCCUUGGAAGACACCGAUGUAUUGAACAUACUGGAAGACUUGCUUAAGAUUCAGCAGAACAAUUUUAAGGACUUAGUUUAAGAGUGAUGCCUCGAUUUUGCCUCUUUGUCUCCAAGGUUGGAGACUUUAUUUUUCAUUUUAAUGUGACUGAACUCAACUUUCAUUUUCGAGCUACCUACGUACCCUUUCCGAAAAAGAGAUCAAGUCAUCACGAAGUUCAAAUAUGUUUGUUUUUUUUUUUUUUGUCUUUUUUUUUUGUCCUAACUUUUGCAUGAGCCACCCUUUCGGCGUUUUAACUCAACAAACUUUUUUCUUGGGUGUCGUACGCAGUUUAUGCUCUUGCGGGCUAGAAACAUUUCUUGUUCUCAAGCGUAACAUUGCUUCAAACGUGGCAAAGCAUUCUUGAAGUCGUUAACGGUUGCUUACCCCCAGUUCUCGGGUGGUGGAACUUCUUUAACAUCUUCUCCCGACCUAUUCGACUGCGACAUGGUAAAAGGCUCGUUGGCUCAAAUAUUGACCAAUAUGUAUGAUUGUGCGUCAUUUCACCUUGAGCUGACCAUCCAAACUCACGUCUAAUGUUGAACAACGUUUCAAGCGUGAAAUGAUUAGAUUGCAAAUUCCAUCAUCUUUGGCUAGGUCAACGAGUCAUUUUCCUUCCGAUAUCACUUAUUUUUCCCCAUAAGGCUCAUUUACAACUUUGAGUCUCUCCAAAGCUGACCUUCAUGAGGGAGAACUAGUUGCGUUUUCAUGUCCAGCAAAAUUGGUCAACCUGUUAAACACAGAACCUCGAGAGGCAGGUGCACCGAGUCGAUUGAAGACGGAAGUCCAGGCUUGACCAUCGAUAUGAUCAAACACAGAAGUUCGCGACUUUUGAACCUUAUACUCUUUCUUGUGCACUGAUUGUGUCACCUUUAUGGCUGCUAUGGGGCGGGUUUUCUCAGUGUUGCAGUGAGAACUUGCCUUUUGUCUCUCAUUCCUUGCUCGAGCAACUUGUGGUUGCGGCUUACGCACCUUCCUUAGGGUCAUCAACGACCGUCCUUCAUUGUCAUUGACUGAAGGACCGUCGAUGAGGUUAACGUCGUUGAGAUAACUUCCUCUGUCAAUGGUGUUUGUUUUGUCUGCAUUAACCACUUUAGGCUUUACCCUUGCUGACUGCGGCCAUAACAUGAUUGGCGAUGCAUGGAAAACCAUAUGAUCAAGGGGUUCAAGUACGACACUUGUCGUAUUUGCCGUUGCCGUUUCUUCAAAGCACUUUCCUUCUUGGGUGAGCUUCAUGAUUAAUUCCUUAAGAACAAAGCACUUUCUCAUCGGAUGACUAACGACGCAAUGGUACUUGCAAUACUUUGGAUCGUUUAUGCGAUUCAUUUCUUCUGGCUGCUUGUACUCGGGUAACUUAAUCACCUUCUUGUCGAGCAAAUCCUCCAACAUGGCAGCCACAUUGGUGUCGAAGAAUGGGUAAGUUUUCUCUUCAAACUCCUUCAAAGUGCAUUUGUACCUUUACUGAUAAUGAAAAGUUUCUUUCCGCUUCACCUCUUCCUUUUUGUCUCUUGUGGAGAUUAUGACUAGAGCUUGUUAACCAUCAUUGCUUCCUUGGCAGGCUCCUUCACAGACUUGUCCAUUUUAUGCCCAAAGAAUUUGUCUUUCUUAUACUCGGUGAUCGGCUUUUUCUUUCCAUGAUUGGCGAUGCUUGACUCCAUGUCAUGGGCGUGGGUAACUAACUUUUCAAAGGUCCAGGGCUUAAUGCCUUGGAAAAUGUAGUGUAAUCCCCAAUGCAUGCCUUGUAUGCACAUCUCAAUCGAGGAGAUCUCCGAGAGUGUCUUUGCAGUCGAGACUCAAUGAGUGUCAUCGGUUGAUAUAGUUGACAACUGGCUCGUCCUUCCAUUGCUUUGUAUUUGUAAGCUCUAUCAUGUUGACGGUGCGAUAUGUGCUGUAAAAACAGUUCAAGAAUUCUUGCUCCAUCUGCUCCCAAUUGUUUAUGGACUUAGGUUCUAGGUCUGUGUACUAAUCGAACGCGUUUCCCUUCAAAGAAUGGACAAAUUACUUUACGAAGUAGUCUCUCUCCGUCCUAGUGUUGUUGCAAGUUUCGACGAAAUGAGCGAUGUGUUGCUUUGGGUCCCUUUCUGUCAAACUGCAUGAAUUUUGGUGGUUGGUACCCCAUCGGCAUCCGUAAGCUAUCAAUCAUCUUGGUGUAUGGCUUGGAGUACAUCACUGCAUCCCUCGAAGUGCCUCUAUAUUGUGCCUUGAUGGUGUUUGUGAUCAUGUCUUGAAGUUGUUGAAUGGAAAGAGAGCCCAUUGAUGUAGCUUCGAACUCUAGCUUUUGUUUCCCUCCAACUUUGUCAAUAUGAUGCGCUUCUUCCUCGCCAGACUCCUCGUCAUGCUGAUUCUUCUUUGGGAUAGGUUGGCUUCUCUAUCAUGCUGCGAUUCCAACCUACUCAUGAGCAUAGCGAUCUGCAUGUCUUUCUCCUUAACGGUCUUUGUCAGCUUUGCGAUCGACUCAUUCAUCUAUGCAAGUUGCUCCUCAAUGGAGGUGGUGCUGGUAGUUAUAACUUGCGCAACCAAAGAAUAUGACUCUCUUGCAGACAUCGAGGGUGCUGACGAAGUCUCCGUGCCAUGGUUACUGGUUGGUGAUCUGCGGUAAGAUCCUGCGCUUAAGUCUGUGUCUGAGCCUAGUGAUAAGAAGCGCUCCCUCGAGUCCUUCGAAGACAAAGAAUCUCGCUUGUCGCUUUGGGAUGUCAUCUUGCAUGCCACAUCAGCAUGCUUUAGUGCCCUCAGCGAGGCUAGGUUGAUGACGGACGCGCGCCUCUGUUGCUCUCCUUGCUCCCUCAAUGACAUUAGCUUAGAAGGGGUGCGUUGCAAUGUGGUUACUGCCUUUGCCUUGCUUUGAGUUGUGACGUUGACAGAUUCUCCACUUGCAGUUGAGGCGCUCAAAUUCUUUGCCUUGGUGACGAUGAUGGCUUGACUCUUCUUGGAAGCCAUCGAUUUCGAAGUGUGUUUGGAUUUCUUAAAUAAAGAAAGAUAUGAGAUGCAGAGAUUAUCCCACUGGGUGUGCCAAAUUUGUAAACUUGAAAAUCCUAUGACAAAUGAGACAAGAACACAUGUACAAAGUAAAUGUUUGUAUUAAUGAAUUUGUAGGGUUACAAUCUCUUUACAACUUGAUCAUCUGAUUCGAUCUUCGAAAUGUGUAGAUGUGUAGUGUUGUUGAUCCAAGGGUCGCGAUGACUUGAUCUUGGAUGAACGAAUGCCGCAAGGUUUUAGCUCUUGGCAAUGGAGGAACCGACACAUGUAGGGGUGUUUGGUGAUUCUUCAAGGGAUUUGACGAAGAACACGAAGGAUUUUCCGAGUCUUCUCGAGUGUUUGAGUGUUUGGGGGGGGGGGGAGGGGGUUUGAGUGCUUGAAAGCUUCAGAAUUUCAAAGAUUCAGCGUCUGGGCGUGAAAUGAUUUAUGGACCAUUUUCUUUGUCUUGGAGCCUCCUAUUUAUAGACUUUCCAAGCCUUGGCUACGGAUGGAUUUGGCCUUGAUUGUGGGCUUGAUUAAUUGACAAAAGAACCAAGGCUUGAUUUGUGGGCCGGUUCGUGAUAUGACUCUAUCAAUUAACAUUUGAUUUAAUUAAAUUAAAAUAAAAAAAUUCCUUUCCGCCGAGUGUUAACAUGUGUCAUUCUUGAUGACUCGUCCGAUUUUCUUGAGUCACACGCCAUGUGUACAAUUUGUGCAACACGUGGCAUGUGCUACGUAUGCUCUGGCUUGUCAGAACUUUUAUGCGUUGAUGAAUAUUUAUUUCAUCGAAAUUUCGAUGUCUACAAAUACACAGAUUUUAGGCCAAAUAUUGACUAUAAAAACAGUGACGAUCAUGCUGUGAUCAGAAUCGGUGACAGUCCUAAAUAGAUGUCUCGACGCACCGUGAAUCUCAUGGCAUUUGUGAUUGGCAUAGAGGGCCAGACAUGGGUAUGUUGCACAUAAAGCUUUGACUCAUUGCUAACAAUUGCAAAUAACCUUAGUAGAGUCAAGGUCAACCACCAACGAGAGAAAAGACUCAGAGAGAGUAGAAACAAGUAGCUAGACACCAGUUGAUAGUCUUAUACCACGCAACAUAUUAAGGACUAGGCUUGGUAGGAGUAUCAUCAACAAUAAGAAGGUUAGUGUCGGACGCAGUGAAUGAGCUAUCAGCAUGAGAGAAAAGAUCAUGAUUAAUAAAAAAAGGAACACAUUUGACACGUCUAAUUGAGAAAAUUGGUUUCCGUAAGCUUGAAGAAGUGAGGCUGCAGCACACUAGGAUUUACAACCUUAACUCAUUGAUACCAUGUAGAAAUUAUAAUCAUAGCACUGUUGGAAAUUUUGAGAAAUUUUAAGUAAAAAUUUCAUUGUCCUACAUUGGUCAUUAUCAAAAGGUUCCCUCACUUUAUAAGGCUUUGUUCCUUAUAAAAAAUUAUUGGAGUGGUGGAUCAUGGAGAAUAAAAUUGGGCUCAACCUUGGAGUUGAGCUUUGGGAUGUACUAAUUAAUUGAUAAUUAAUAUAUAAUUAAUAAAAUUCUUUAAUUAAUUAUUUUAAUUAAUUCGGAUUUAAUUAAUUAAUUAUUUUUUAUAUCAACAUACUCAUCUUUUCAGAUGAAGUCUGAAGUGAUGAAAGAACGCCAAAGAGCAAAGCACCCCUCUAAGAAGAUGUCUCCCAACAGACUAUCUCAUUCUCAUACCAGAAGUCACUUAGAUCGUUGAAUCCUGAUGAAGCAGAUGUCUGUAGAACUACAAGUACUGAAUAGGGACGAAAUUUCUGUUUCUAGAACAUUGUUGUACGCAAGCUUAGAUUUUCAAUUUGUCUGUUUAAUAGUAUUUCAUUUUGUUCAUAUUCUAUUAAAUUAUUUAUUAACAUAUAUAAAUUUAUCAUUGAUUGUUGAUAUUUAUUCAACAAACACAAAGGCUCAUACAUAUACAAUCGUAGGUACUUGACAUACUACAAAUCAGGAAUACAAUUAGAAUAACAUUACAAUAUUAAUUCCGAGAUAUUAUUUCCUUAGACAAGACUCCUCCUCUAACACCUUCCCCUUUUUCUCCUUUUGUAAAGAGAGAGGAGGAAUGGAAACAUGAGUGCCAAUCUGGGAUCAUGUAAACUAUUAGUUCUUGAGUUUUAUUGCAAAUUGAAUUCGGAAAUUAGCUUGUAAAUUGAAAGGAUUGAUCGGAGAACAUACCGUAUGUCUAGAGUAUAGCAACUCUGUGACAGGGAAUCGAUCGACAUGCCGUUAACACAACAACUGUGUACGCAACAAGAGCUAAGAAACCAGGCAGAUGAACGCACGCCUCUGAUACGUUUUCGCACUAUCGCUCCUCAAUUUCUCCUGCUGCGGCGGCGGCUGCUGCUGCUCCAGCUGCCGAUCAUCCGAGGAGGAGAAAAUCACAAUUUGUAGGUGAACUAAGUCUUGCUUAAGAAAAUUGAUCUCGAAAUAACGUUGCGUACGCUCCCAUUUCGUGACGAAACUCUUGAAGGGGAUGGCGAAGACGACGCAAAUCAGACACGAGAGGGUGAAGGGCGCCCACCAGAAUUCGCACGACAAGUUUGGAUUGUGGCUAACAGAAUGGAAUAUGAAGCUUUGAAGGUAGAUAUAACCGCAAACCAGCAGCAUCGCCGUUGUUUCCAGACGCCUUACUGUUUGCUCUUGUUUUUCGCCGACGCCUUCCAGUUUAUUCCAUUCGUUCUCCGCCUUGUCUAGUUCUUGAUGGCGGAUUAUUCUUCUGUUUUCCAUGCGAAGAAAAGUUUUCCGGCAAAGAGGAGCUCCUACUGCGGCGGGAGAAGAAGAAGGAACCGGUAGGUGGGUGUAUGUAUUGACAAAAUAGCGAAAAGAGGGUGGAAUUGCGCAAAUGAUGGGUUUCUUCAAAGAAAAUGUUCAACAACUUCUGCGAAAACGACAACCCGUGUGCCGUGCUCCAUUAGUAUAAAGAAAAGAUCCCGAGCUUUUUCUUUAAGCGGUGUGCUGAGCAUCAUUUCAUCCAGGGGUGUGUUAUUCACGUCCAUAUUCAUUUCUCACACCUUUUAUUAAUUUAUGUUCUUUAAUGGUCAUCAAUUUAUUCAAUUAGAUGGUCGAAAAUUAAAAGAAUGUGUAGGAAGUAAAAAAAGAUGUGUGAAUAUCACACCUCUUCGUCAAAACUUGCGGCGUCUGCCAAAGAUUUUUCUUUAACUUUAUUCGGGUUUUAAGUGUUUUGCACUCUAAAUUUCUGCUCACGCCUUGCAGCGAGACUGAAAUUUCUAUGAAAGAUUAUGUGAAAUAUACAAAAGAUUGUGUUAUAAAAGAAUUAAGGGUAAAGUACAAAAAACUACAUCAACUAUUGGUGUCACGACACUUUCAUAGCUCAUCUUUUAAAAUUGACAAUGUCAUACCUCAUCUUACGAAUUUGUGCCAAUGUCAUACAUCCGUCAGUUUUUCUAUUAAUUUCUCAGUUAAUUGCUGACGUGGCUUGAUCCGAGACCUAUUUUCUAUUAAAAAAUUAUUAAAAAAAAAUCAUUUAAUAUUUUUUAAAUAUUAAAAUAAUAAAGAAAAGUUAAAAACAAAAAAAAAAAAAAAAAAAAAAAAACCCAACAUCAAUUCGUCCCCUUCCCCCUUCUCUCUUUUCUCCCUAUCUUCUUCUUCUUCAACCUUCCUGCAACUUCAACCCAAAAAAAAAAAAAAAUCAAUUUGUCUUCCCCACUCCCCACCCCCUCUUCUCCCCGCACCCACUAUCCGCACCCAACCUACCCACCUUCCCACCCACCCUCUGCACCCAACCUUGCACCCAAUACCUGCAACCCAAAAAAUAAAAAAUAAAAAAAAACCCAUAUCUCGUUGAGAACUUGGGCGCAGAGAAAAUGGGGGGAAUGGAUGUGGAAGGAAAAAGGUGGGCACGUGGGGGGAUGGACGAACUGAGUAUCCUUCCUUUUUUUUUUUUCCUUCUCUCUCUUUUUCUUCUUCUUCUGCAGGUUGGGGGGGGGCAGGGACCUUUUUUUUUCUUUUCCUUCUCUCUCUUCUUCUUUUGCAGGUUGGGCGGGGGGGGGAGUUUUGUUUUGUUUUUUUUUUCUUUUUUCUGGGUUGCAGCAAGGGACCUUUUUUUUUUUUUCCUUCUCUCUCAUCUUCUUCUGCAAGUUGGGCGGGGGGGGGGGGUUUGUUUGUUUGUUUUUUUUUUCUUUUUUCUGGGUUGCAGCAAAUAGGGGGAAGAAGAGGAAAGAAGAUGAAGAUGGGAGAGAAGAGAGAGGGUGCCGGGGGGAAGGGAGUUUUGUUUGUUUGGUUUUUUUUUUUUCUGUCUGGGUUGCAGCAAAUAGGGGGAAGAAAAGGAAAGAAGAUGAAGAUGGGGGAGAAAAGAGAGGGCACCUGGGGGGUAAGGGACAAAUUUUGUUUUGUUUUUUUUUUUCUUUUUUCUGGGUUGCAGUAGGUAGGAAGAAGAUGAAGGGAGAUGAAGAUGGGGGAGAAGAGAAAGGACGCAGGGGGAAGUUUUGUUUGGUUUUUUUUUUUUUAAUAACCUUCUUUAUUAUUUUAAUAUUUAAAAAAUAUUAAAUGAUUUUUUUUAGUUUUUAAUAAUUUUUUAAUAGAAAGUGGGUCCCGAAUCAAGCCAAGUCAGCAAUUAACUGAAAAAUUAACAGAAAAAUUGACGGAGGUAUGACAUUGUCACAAAUUCGUAAGAUGAGGUAUGACAUUGUCAAUUUUAAAAGAUGAAAUAUGAAAGUGUCGUGACACCAAUAGUUGAGGUAAUUUUUUGUACUUUACCCAAGAAUUAAUGUUAUUUACAUUGAAAACGUUGGGUAGAUAUUUAUAUACUAAAGAUUUAACCAGAGGCAAUCAAUGUGACUUUGGAUUGUUCUGCAGUGUCCUGAUUUCGGUGCCAAGUCCAUGGUAUCGUUUGGUAUGCAGAUGAGACGGGAUGGAACAGAAUGGGACAAGACAGGACGGGACGGAACAGAGAGAGAGCAAAGAUGCCCUCAGAUGGAAACAAGGAGGAAGAAGAAGGAGACAAAGAUGUUAUAAUUUUGUAUUCCACGGAUGUGGAACGAGUUGUUCCAGGGGGUGAGGUGAAACGAAAAUUCACCCAAAAUUCGUCCCGUGGAACAGCGCGUUCCACCCGUUUUAGGCGCACCAAACGUGGGACGGAACGCCUCGUCUCACUCUGUUCCAUCCCGUCCCACAUACCAAACGGUACCUAAAGUACGAGUCUUAUUUUUCACCUGCAAGUCGCAUAGGAAUUCGAAUUUAAUUAAUGAACUUUAGAAAUGAGGUCGUGUUGGGACACAUUCAACUAUAAUCUAACUGAUAAUGUUACUCAAAUCACAACAUAUAUAGGUGCAUUACUAAUGAUUAGUGUUUAAAUUUUUUUUGAUACGGUCAAUAUUUUCAUAGAAAUAACCAAAAAAAUUAGAGGAAAAUAUGAAAAUGGAGGUGACUUCACCUCAUAUCGGAGAAACUCUUAAAAAGUUUUGUCUAAAAUCGACAUAUAUAAUCGAUAUUUCUGACACAUCUAUUAUAUUUUCAUGUAAACACAUUCAUCACUAGGGCUCUCUUCAAAAUCAUAUGAUGAAACCAAUGUUUGACAACACUCAAAGUUUCAUUUUAAAUUUUCAUCAUUUCCAUCGAAAACAACCAUAUCGAUAUCGACAUUCACAUUCGAUAUACCCGUCGAUAUUUUCACAAAUUUGCAUACCAAUAUUUCCACCAAUAUCGAUAUUUUAGGCAUUGCUACUAGGUACGAUGCAAGAAUUCUAAGAACUUCAUUAACUCUAUGACUAAUGAAUGUAGAUUUAAUAGUUUAAUUCUAAUGGUACAAAAUUGUUCUCUAUGCCAAGAGAAAUUUUCAAAAGCAUAAAAAUAGACAAUUAAGAAGUAGCUGUAAACACGAAAAUUCUACGACAAACGAGAAAAGAACACGUGUACAAAAUAAAUUUGUUGUUAAUGAAUUUUUAGGUUACAAUCUCUUUACAACUUGAUCCUCUGAUUUGAUCCGUAAGGUGUAGAUGUGUGAUGUUGUUGAUCUAAGGGUCACGAUGACUUGAUCUUGGAUGAAUAGUUGCCUCAAGGGUUUAGCUUGCGGCGAAGGAAGAACCAACCCGUGUAGUGGUGCUUGUUGAUUCUUCAAAGGUUGUUGAUCCAAGAAUUGUGAUGACUUGAUCUUGGACGAAUGGUUGCCUCAAGGAUUUGGCUUGCAACAAAGGAAGAAUUGACACAUGUGGUGGUGCUUGUUGAUUAUUCAAAGGUGUUGGCGAAGAACGAAGAGUGCAUUCUCGAUUCUUCGGAAAUCUUGGGAAUUUGGGAGGUUGGAUGCUUGAGAGCUUUAGAGUUUCCAAGCUUUAAGGUUUUUGGGUGUGUGGAGUGAAUUCUUUUCCAAUUUGGGUGUGGAGACAAUGAACGAGUGAAUUGGUCCCCUGAAAUGAAUGCCUCCCCCUUCUAUUUAUAAACUUUCCAAGUCUUGAUCUUGGAUUUAAUUAAAAUCAAAUCAAAUAAAUCCUUUCUGCCAAGUGUUGACACGUGUCCUUCUUGAUGACUCGUCCGAUUUUAUUGAGUCACACACCAUAUGUACAAUUUAUGCUACACGUGGCGCAUGCCAUGUGCCCUAACACAUCGAAACUUUAAUGCAUUGGUCCACAUUUAUUUCACCGAAAUUUCGAUGCUUACAAAUGCCCCCAUUUCAAGGCGCGUCGUAUACAUGUGUUUGACACGUGUAGAAGAUGUGUUUUGAAGUCCCUUGCUUAUUGAAUGCAUUUGACCACAAUGCUUUGAAGUCCCUUAACGUAAAUGCUGAUUCAAGGGCCGUCGAGGCUUGAUUCUUGAAUUGGGCUGAAAGUUUCUUCAAGGGCCAUAGAGGCUUGGUCUUGAAUUGGGCUGGUAGUUUCUUCAAGGGCCGUAGAGACUUGGUCUUGAAUUGGGCUAGCAUUUUUUUCAAGGGCCUUUAAGGCUUAAUUUGGAAUGAAAUGGGACCACGAGGAGCUUCACGUGGUGAGUGGUCUUUGAUUUUGUUGGGGACGAAUUGGCACGUGUAUUUAUUAUGCUUGUUAAUUCUCCGUGAGCUUGGUGAAGAACAUGAGUGUUUUAUUUGGCCAUAGAGCUUUCUUAUUUCCUCCAAAGGUUUGGAUUUACUUCAUUUCUUUGGAUUUAAUUUGAUCCAAGGGUGGUUGACACUUAAUCUUGAAUCAAACUUAUCAUUUCUUCAAAGGUCGUCGAGGCUUGAUCUUGAAUGAAAUGGGACCAUGAGCGGUUUCACUUGGUGGGUGAUCUUCGGCUUUGUUGGGGACGAAUCGGCAUGUGUAUUUGUUAUUCUUGUUGAUUCUCCACGAGCUUGAUGAAGAAUACGAUUGUUUGGAUGUUUGAGAAAGUUUUGGAUGUCCGGAGUUUCGACUUGCUUUCUUUUGCUCCUCCCCUUGAUUAUCCUUUAGGCUGAUACGUGUCAACGCAAUACUUGAAUUUUUUGUGGGCUCAUCAUUGAUCCUUCUGCUUCAGUGUUUUGCAUAGCAGAAGUGGUGAUGUUCCUUUACUCUUGUCGGUAAUAAUGGUGUAGUUGGAACUACAAAAUUCACACGUUUCAACUUUGUCAGAGAUCUUUGACAAAGUUACCCUUGAUAUCCCAAAAGCUGAGAUUGCAUCUGAAAAGUGCCAACAAACUUUAUUCAGGAAAGGCUUUUGAAAUUCAAAGAGCGGUGCCUCUUUGAUUUCUAAAUAAGUGGUCAUGUUGCAUCUUCUUUUAUAGAGGCAUCAAUUGUGUUCAGAAAACACACUGAGACAAUUGCUGUGUGUAGAUUUUUUUUGCACUUCUGAGAUUUAUCAGACCUAUUUUUUUCUUUAUUAUUUCUGAAAAUGACUUGUCCAUCUGACCGUCGUUUUGAUUUGAAUGUUGUGGAAGAUGCAAACAUGUCUCCUCAAGACAACAUAUGGCACCCAUGUCAAAGCAGUUUAAUCAAAUUUGACAAUUUAAAAAAGGACAAAUGUUUAGCCUAAAAGAUAUAAAUAAAAUUGUAAAGGAUUCUAAUUUCCUCAAAAAAAAAAAAAAAAAAAAAAAAGAAAAGAAAAAAAAGCAAAUUACCACAAGCGUCAGCGUGCAAGUUAAUGAUAAGCAUAGGGAUCAAAAGAAAUUUAUCCACUAACGUUAGAACUUUUUAACUUAGAAGUUUAUUAGACCGGGUUUAACAUUGUAAUGCAAAAGAUUGAACCGGUCCAUUAUGUGUCUUUCCCCUACAUAAUUAUCUUCUCCUCCGCUCCGUUACACGAAGACAAUAAGAGAGAGCGACGGCGGUGACCAAUCCAGAUUUCCGUUUGUUUCCCCCCAAAAAACAAUCGCUCGCAAUUCUUCUUCAGGAAACACCUUCUUCCUCGUCUGUUUUUGUUUCUCCUCGAUUUAGAUCCGUUAAUUUUCGGAUCUAGGGUUUCGAAGGGGGGCGAGAUGUACAACGGAAUAGGGUUACAGACUCCGAGGGGGUCGGGGACCAAUGGCUACAUCCAGACCAACAAGUUCUUCAUCAAAUCGAGGACCGGGAAGGUCGCCGACUCCUCCCGUGGCUUCGACGACGACCAGGGUACCGGCGGCGUCACCAAGAAGCCCAACAGAGACAUCCUCGAGCACGAUCGAAAGCGCCAGAUUGAACUCAAGCUCGUCGUCCUAGAAGAUAAGCUCAUCGAUCAGGGUUUCACCGAUGCUGAGAUCGCCGAGAAGCUCGAUGAGGCUCGGAAGACUCUCGAAGCCGCCGCCGCGGCUUCGGAAGAGGGUGGCGGACCCGGCGCCGUUGUGGUUUCUGAUAAGAAGUAAGUUUUCUAUCUCCUUUUUUUGGUUAAAAGUAUGAAAACUUGAGACAAAGAUUUCAAUUUUGAAUAAUAUUUAGUCUCUUAUAUUUAUGAUUAGUGUCAUUUGGAUGCGAAUGCGACUUUGCUAUGUAACAGUGUGAUUAAAAGUUGAUUAACCCGAAGAAUAUUGAACAACUUUGUAUUUUGUUACUUAAAUAGGGUUUCAGAUACACAGACCCACCAAAUUGCUGCUAGGAAGGAGAAGCAAAUGGAAACAUUAAGAGCUGCACUUGGGCUAGCUGCGCCCGAAUCAGCUGACAAGAAUACUGAUGAGAUCGAAGAGGGACAGAUAAGUAGUCGAAAGAAAGGUCCAGAAGAUGAUGGCAAGUUUCAAGAGAGAAGUGAGCAUGCAUUUUUGGACAGGGACUACGUGCGGAACAAACAUGGGGAGGAAAAGCAGAAAUCUGAAAAGGAUGAUAAGAAAAAGAGUGUUAAAGAAUCUAGGCGGAACAAGAAGGAGGAAAGCAGGAAGAGAAGGCAUAAGUAUGAUUCUUCCAAUACCGAAAGCAGCGGUAGUCCUCCUCCCAAGGCUGAUAAAAAGAAGAGUCGUGGAAGUAGCAGCAGUGACGAAGAUGAUUCUGAAGUUGAACUUGACAAGAAGCACAAGGUUGCGAAGAAGCAUGAGAAGAGAAGAAGUAAGAGCUCUGAUGAUUCUGAUUCUGCUUCAAGUGAUGAUGAUGCUAGGAGGAAUGGUGCAAGAAAGAAAGUUGAAAAAUUCAAAAAGCCUCAAAGGAGGCAAGAUUUAGAUGAAGAUGAUUCUGAAGCUGAUGUUGGAAAGAGGCAGAAGGUUGUUAAGAAACAUAGUAGGAGCAGAAGGGAUGGCACUGAUGAUUCUGAUUCUGCUUCGAGUGACGAUGAUGCACGGAGCGGCGGUGCAAGAAAGAAAGUUGAGAAAUUCAAAAAACCUCAAAGGAGGCACGAUUCAGGUGAAGAUGAUUCUGAAGCUGAUGUUGGCAGGAAGCAGAAGGUCGUUAAGAAACAUAGUAGGACCAGAAAGGAUGACACUGAUGAUUCUGAUUCUGCUACCAGCGAUGAGGAUGCUAGGAGGGACAGUUCGAGAAAGCAAGUAGAGAUAUUUAAAAAACCUCAAAGGAGGCAUGACUCAGAUGAAGAUGAUUCUGAAGCUGAUGUUGGCAAAAAGCAGAAGGUUGAUAAGAAGCAUAUUAAAAGUAGAAGGUAUGAGACUGAUGAUUCUGAUUCUGCUAGCAGUGAUGAUGGUGCCAAGGACAGAUCCAGAAGGGAAGUAGAGAAAUCCAAACUAUCUCGUAGGAGGCAUGAUUCAGAUGAAGAUUCUGAUUCUGAAGAGAAGGGGUUAAGAUCUAAUGCUGUUGAAGGUUAUGAAAUAAGUCGUCAAAUUGAUGAUGACAGGUAUUGUCCAAACAGGGAUGAUCAGAAGUAUUCAGGAUUGGAAAGACCUAGAGGAGGGCGCGAGGACAAAAUUUACAGCAAAGAUGUUGAACCAGAAGGGGGUAGUAUAAGAGUUAAUCAGGAUUAUGUAGAGAGAGGAGUUAAAACCUACACCAAGGAUGAUCAGGAACACAAAGCGAGAAAGCAUGGAAGGUAUGAAGAGGAUGAUGUAGGGCAUGGAAGGCACAUCAAGGAUGAAGAGCACAGGGGAAGGAAGCAUGGAAGAGACGAAGAGGAUCGUGGAGGGCGUGGAAGGCACAACAAGGAUGAAGAAUACAAGCGAAGGAAGCAUGGGAUAAAUGAAGAGGAAACUGAGUACAGAAAGGUGGAGGAUAACAAAGAGGAGCUUGGAAAUAGAAAACCUAGAAAAAUGGAGGAAGAACGGGGAAAUAAGGAUAUGGAUAGAGACAUGGAUUACAUGAGAGCAAAAUAUGAUGAUUCUCGAUCAAUUGAGAGGAGGCGCGAAAGUGAAAAACGUAAUGGAAGAGAUGGAGAGGAUCGUGGAGGGCGUGGAGGGCGUGGAAGGCAUGAUAAGGAUGAAGAGUAUAAGGGAAGGAAGCAUGGAAGAGAUGAAGAGGAAAACGAGUACAGAAAGGUGGAGGAUAACAAAGAGGAGCUUGGAAAUAGAAAACCUGGAAAAAUGGAGGAAGAACAGGGAAAUAAGGAUGUGGAUAGAGACAUGGAUUACAGGAGAGCGAAGUAUGAUGAUUCUAGAUCAAUUGAGAGGAGGAAUGGAGAGGAUGUUGAAGAGGAGCGUGGGAAUAGAAGGCCGGGAAAAGUAGAAGAAAGAGGAAGUAAAGAGACUGAAAGGGAUAGACACCUUGAUUACAAGAGAGCAAGAUAUGAUGAUUCUAGAUCAAGCGAGAGAAGGAGAUAUGGAAGUGACAAACAUAAUGAUGGUCGUUCCAGGCAUCGAGACUGAUAUGGUGGUAAGGUAUAUACUAUCCUCUAUUGAACUUUACAUUCACUGAUAUUGUGGCAUCGGGAGUACAUUUAGUUGUCAUUCUCUGCGAAAUCUGGAAAACCAUUUGUUUUGUUACUGAAAAACCUACUGUGCAUAGAUUGCCAUGCUUUUAUCUCCACGUUUAUACUGUUUUAAUAACUGUGUUGUACGCUAGCUUCCUUUUUGCAAAGCAGAGAAUCCUGUAAUGAGAGUAGUAAACCUCUGAUCAAACGUACUGGUUUAUAACUUUAUCUGCAAGAAAGUAUGCCUUUAUAUAUUAUGGCAGCGGCACGCUCGUAGUGUCCACAUGGUAUUUCUAUUAAGUCAGUUUUGGCUCUUUGCAACUCAUCUUCUACCCAUGGUUUUCCGAAUCAAGUGUUUAACGUUAGCAAUAUACGUUUCUAAUAUUGGUGGUUCUAAUCCUGACAUUAGUUAUGUUGCAGGUUUUUAUCGUGCCUAAGGCCUGUCAAUGCUUGCUAAGACAAUGGAGUCAUUGACUACUGGGAGCUGAAUGGAGAUGGAAUAUUAGCUUGAUAAGUUCACUGCAUCGCACUUUGAGUUGUAAUGUUUUGGUUGGAUCUGUAUGAAGAUCGUGCAACUUAUUUGUAGUAUGGUUUAGUAUCGCAGUUUAUGUUAUGCGGCAACGUUUUAGCAUUUUUGUUGGCCAUCAGAUCGAAUGGUGUGAUUUUAUUUAGAUAUUUUCGCGAGUCUUAUACUCGCCUCAUUACAGGCAUGCACGGAAUACUUGGAGUUUGUUAUCUGUAAGAAAAUGAAAUCUGGUGGUGUUGGCCUUAUAUCUGGAUGCCAUGGAAAAAUGGAACCGUUGUGACC